This 59384-nucleotide long non-coding RNA is filed under the name Zea mays. Its description in RNAcentral is "long non-coding RNA (ZMAY_LNC002507)". Lineage: Eukaryota; Viridiplantae; Streptophyta; Magnoliopsida; Poales; Poaceae. The record is from RNAcentral.
UGAUCUUGAAAGGCCCUGAAAGAUAACAGAAACGCAAACUAAUGACAGGAAAAGAAUAUCAAGUAGAACAGGAUAGGAAAAAAUACAACUCUUUUGAAUGCAUGAAGAGAGAGCCAUGCAGCUAGACAGGCAGGAGGGUAAGGUUGUAACGGUGAACAGAAGCAUUCUAACAACUUUAACUAAAAGUAAAGGGCAGACCCAGUGCCAGAGGCCCACAUGAGUGGAGUUGAGGAAGGGAUAAACAGAAGCAAGCCUUACCACUGCAAAUGCACGGAGGCUGCUUUGAACCCGUGACCUAUGAUUUUAAUAAGACAGCUCCCACCACUGCAACAGGCCUACCCUUGUAACUUCAACUAAAAGUAAUUUUAUAAAUCCAAACAAUAGUAGUCUUCAUUUACAGUAUUUAAACUAUAUAAGAAAGUUGUUUCCAGCAAGUCAAAGACAUGAAAAUGCAGAUAGUCCAACAGUCUAUUUUUUAACCAUGUGACAGUGCCAUCAAAGAACCAAUGCUUAGGCAUCACGUGUGUAUGAGGGCGCAAAUGCACUAUAAGGUCAAGAGCUGUUGCGUAUGAUGCUACUAUGAGCCUUGAGGGUAGGGCUCCAGCAAAUAAAAAAACACAGAAAUCAUCAUCCGUUUCUCUCUCAGCUCUCGCAUUCUGGUGGCCGAGACUCUACCUUCCUCACAAAUAUUUAUUUGCUGAAGCCAGGUCUUAGGUAAGGUUAUAAACUUUCUGGGCCAAGACCCUUCUUUGGACCUCGUCUGCAAUGUAUAAGGACUGGUUUGGUGACAAGGGAAUUGGAGGGGGAGGAAAUCCCUUGCUAUUCAAUUUUGAAUAGCAUGAAAUUUCCUCCCCUCCAAUUCCCUUGUCACCAAAACCUGGAUGCCCUUAUAUCACGCAUGCAGGUCCCAUAGUCCAGACUGAAUUCGGAUUCUUUAAAAACUCAACUAUAAUGUGCAGUUGCAAGACAAUCACACGUCGUCACACCAGACUCUACAAAUAAUAUAGUUCACAGAUUGAGCCAACCAGCGCGUAAACAUUUACAUCUAUCUUUCAACUCAAAACUUAUGCUGUGAUCAGAGGCAGCGAACCAAGCGUGGCUCACCAGAGAUAAGGAGCAGGCCGGACUUGAGCUGCUUGAGAAACACCACUCUCUUCCCCAUGAAGCGCCCUGCGAGGAGGAUCAGCACCGUCCCAGGCGUGAUGCUCGACCUGCACAAAAGAAUGGCAAGUGGAAUCAAAUCUCCAAGCAAAAUAAAUACGAACACCACGCGGGCUGCGACUUGAAGGAAUGGCUUGGGCACCUGAGCUUGGUAGGCUUAGGCUUGCGGGUGCUGGGAACGCGGGGCUUGACGUCGUCGGCAGGGUAGAACUUGGGUUCCACGGCGGCGGCGGCCUUGUCGGCCUUGGGGAAGGCGCCGCCGUUCUUGGCCUUGAUGGCCCACAGCCCACGGCGAUGGUACGCGUGCGACCGCGAAGCGCGCUUGAUGCCCGUCGACAGCUUCGACGUCGGCGCCAUUGGAUCGAAAUGGUACGAGGCACAGCUUCGGAUCGGGACUGGGGGCGGCGGGCGAAAAAUGGAAGCGACGGUUUGGUCACGGCAUAUAUAUCUGUGCGGCGGCUUACAGGUGGAAACCCUAGGUCGUCGGGCUCCUCCGCGUGUAGUAGUGGGCCUAAUUGUUGAGGCCCAUGCACCUCACGAAAUAUUUUCCGUUCAAAAAAACUAUUUUGUCUUCAUCAACUAUCACAAAAGUUUAAUUGUUUCUUCUUCAACUAUAAAAUUAAUACAACGCGUUCCUUCUCUAUCUCUAUCUCUACCCUUUAAAUCAUUCUUUAAAGCACGAAAGUUUCAUGUAUCCUAUGUUACACGCAAAACAUGUAGUUCUAUUUUUCUCCAACAUGUCAUAAGCUAACAGCCCUAAAGGUCUUAUCUCUUUCAUACGCAACUAACCUAAGAUAAGACUCGUAUCACCAUAGACGAUAUCGAGCAAGUUAUCCUUCUGGCCUCUGACUCGCCAACCAGAUAGACUCUUCUACAUUGUCAUCUCCUUCGUGCGAGGAAACCACCUCCGGACGUCAAGAACAAAAAAAAGGUUAAAUCUAAAUUCAACUGCACUCCAUUUAACUAUUCUUGUAUUUCUCACAACUCGAAUGUCCAAUUGCUUUCUAUUCCUCUUGGCAAACCUCCUCGUUUUGAUGGAGAGGAUUAUUCUUGGUGGAGCCAUAAAAUGUGUAGUCAUCUUUUUUUCUCUCCAUCCUAGCAUUUGGGAUAUGGUAGAAAAUGGAAUGCAAAUACCAGAUAUUGAUGAUGAGAUUUUUGAUGAUAUAGAAGUAGAAUAAUUAAUUCAUAGAAAUUCCCAGGCUACCACUGUUUUGCUAGCUUCUCUAUGCAGAGAAGAAUACAACAAGGUAAAUGGCUUGGAGAAUGCCAAAGAAAUCUGGGAUACAUUGAAGAUCUUGCAUGAAGGAAACUUGAUUACCAAAGUAACCAAGAUGGAGCUCUUCGAGGGUGAACUUGGGAGGUUUGCCAUGAAGAAGGGCGAAGGGCCACAAGAAAUGUACAACAUGCUCAAGCCCCUAGUGAACCAAGUGCAGAACUAAGGAAGGAAGAGAUGGAUGGAUCAUGAAGUUGGUGGACUCAUGUUGAGGUCAUUUAAUGUUAAAGAUCCUACUCUUAUUUCUUUAAUCCGUGAGAACCCCAGGUACACUAAGAUGGUGCCCGAGGAGGUGUUUGGAAAAUUUGUUAGCCAUCAAAUGGUGGUUAAAGAUGCCAAGUACACCGACGACAUCGCCAAUGGGGACACCCCUCCAAUGAAUCGCAAGUCAUUGCUUUCAAAGAAAUGAAUGAUAGGGAGGCGAUCCUCAACAAGGUGGCUCAAGUUGAGGCAGCCGGCCUCAACGAUGAGGAUAUGGCCAUCAUAAAGCGCUUCAAGAGCGCAUUAAAGGGGCACAAGAGCUACAAUAACAACAAGUCAAAGGGGAAACGUGCAUGCUUCAAAUGUGGUAAGAUUGGUCAUUUUAUUGCUAAAUGUCUAGAUUAUGAAAGUGAUGACUAGGAAAAGGCAAAGAAGGGAGAAGAUGGAAAAGAAGAAGUUCUACAAGAAAAAGAAGGGUGAGGCGCAUAUUGGAAAGGAGUGGGACUCAAGCUGCAACUCCUCCGACAACGAAGGACUCGCCACCAUUGCCUUCGACAAGUCAUCACUCUUCCCCAACGAACGACAUACAUGCUUGAUGGCAAAGGAGAAAAAGGUAUAUCCUAGAUCAAUGCCAAAGUAUAUUUUCUCUAGUGAUGAAGAAUCUAGUGGUGAUGAGGAAGAUUAUAGCAUGUUGUUUAAGGGCCUUGAUAGCUUUAAGGUUGAUAAAAUUAAUGAAUUAAUUGAUUCCCUAAAUGAGAAGGAUAGACUUUUAGAAAAACAAGAUCUCAUUUAUGUGGAAUAUUAUAAAUUUGUUAGUGUAGAAAAGGCCCUUGCUCUUGAACUUGAAAAGAAUAAAAAUUUGACUAAAGAGUUUGAUGAUUGUCACUCUUUCAUUUCGUAUCUUAAAAUUGCUAAUGAAGAAUUGAAUGAUAUUAGUGAAGUUGAAUGAGUGACAUGCAUCUUCAUCCCUCAAGCAUGUCUCUAUUUUAAAUAGAUGUAGGGAUGUAGAUGUUCAUGUCAUUCUAAUGUUGCUAAGAUUGCUAGUUUGAAUGAUGAGAUUGCAAAAUUAAAUGCUCAAACUAAAAUUUGCAAUGAUGAGCUAAAGAAUAUUAAAUUUUCUAGGGAAGCUUUUGUAAAUGGUAGGAAUCCUCGGAUCAAGGAUGGUAUUGGCUUCCAAAAGGGAGCCAAAGACCAAUACGAGCCAAAACUUGUUUUGUAGGUUUAUGCAUCCGGGGGCACAAGCUGGGUCAUUCAUAGAGGAACCACAAACCACAUGAAGGGUGGGGAACACAUGUUCUCAUCCUAUGUCAAGAACAAGGAUUCCCAAGAUGUGAUUAUCUUUGGAGAUGGGAAUCAAGUGAAAGUAAAGGGUUUAGGUAAAAUUGGAAUCGCCACUGAGCACUUUAUCUCUAAUAUAUUUUUGGUUGAUUCAUUAGACUAUAAUCUACUUUCCAUUAGCCAAUUAUGAUCUAUUGGAUAUAAUUGUUUAUUUACCAAUGUCAAUGUUAUGGUCUUUAGAAGGAAUGAUGGUUCAAUUGCAUUUAAAGGUGUAUUAAAGGGAAAACUUUAUCUAGUAAAUUUUUCGAAUGAUAAUGUACAACUUGAUGCAUGUUUAAUUGCAAAGAUCAACGUGGGUUGGCUAUGGCAUCGUCGCCUAGCACAUGUUGGGAUGAAGAAUUGUAACACCCUGUAUUUCAUGGUAUAAAAUUUCUUCUUUGAUAUCCACCAAAUUCAGGUGUUACCUUCGUUCUCCUUUUCCUCUCUGCUCCUUUCCCUACCUUUUCAAAGUAAUAGAGGGACUUAUUUUGAAUUCAUGUAUCAAUAAAACCCUAAGGAAGCUUCAAUUGAUGUUGGUUGAUGGAGAAACAUGGAGUGCAUCCAUUUAAUUCAAGAACCGCGCUCGAGUAUGACUUCAAAUAGAGAGAUAAAGAAAAGAGAAAAGAAGAAAGAAAAGAACCCCCCCUCCCCGGUGCCGCCUAGCCGCGCCAGCGGCCCAACUGCCCCACCCCUCCCCCAUGCGUUGCUUGGCCCAGCGUGCCUUCUACCCGCGUCGGCCUCUCCCAUGGCCCAACCCGAAUUCUCCUCCCCCGCCGGCCCAGCGACCCACACGGCCCACUCCCCCCCCCCCCCCCCCCCCCACACGCACCCCCACCCUAGCCCACGGCGCAAGCGCUCGCCCAUCCGUGCUCUCGGCCGCUGUAGCCCCAGACCCACGUGUCAGGGCACUACUUUUCUUCUCUUGUUCGCCUUCACCAACUGAUUUCGAGCCGUCCGCGUCCAUCCCGUGCCAGGAGCUGCUACAGCCUGUGGCCCGUAUGUCAGGGUGUCAUCCCCAACUACCCAGUGCAUCCCCAGCCAGUUGGAUCCCAAGCCACAUCGUGGGUGCGCCCGAAGCGGUAACCGACUCCACGAUCUCAUGCGCCGCCUACAGAAAGCCCUCGGCCACCCGUGUUGUUCCUCGAUCUCCUCCCUUGCCUCAUCUCAUUUCUUCCCCCAUGCACAACAUUGCAGCGCGCACCUAGCCACUGUCAUGUGCCUCGCCGGACCACGGGUCGUCGAUGCCGCUAGCCAAGCAGCUUGCGCCAUGUAGUUUGUCGCUGGAGCCGGAGCUCGCCUCGCCAUGACUGGAACCAUCGUCGUCGUUCGUGCGCCGCCCCGUCGGUCGUCGUCACCGAGCUCGCCAUUGCAGAAGUGAGCCUCAGUCGUUCUCUUGCUCCUCACCCCUCUCUUCUUCUUCCCUGUGUGAGGCCAUGGCCAGUCACCACGCCGAGCCCCACCCGUUCUCGCCACGCCCCAUGGCGCAGCGUGCCCCACUCCUCCCAUGCGCCCCUCCGUGGCCACGCUUGCUAGUUGGCAAGGCCGCCCCUACCUACCGGUCGAGCCCCGUCCCCUUUCCCUGUGUACUUGCGUCGUGCUAUGUUCGUACAUGUGCCCUCGCCAGCCAUGGAGUCGUAGCAGCGCGAGCUCCGUUUGGCCCCUACAUCGUGACUCCCCAUGUUAUUGUAACCUACCCCUCGCUAUUGCUUGGCCUCGGCACAACCAAACAUAGCGUCAGCUAGGGAUGAAAACGGUCAGAAACAAUAUUUAUUCGGUAACCAGUUUUUUGGUCAUUUUUCUUUGAUUGCGAAUAAAUAGGAUAUAGAAUCUACUAUACAAAUUUGUAUUCUUGUUGUUAACAUUGAGCUUGUAAAGAUUCAUAAAAAGUAAACCUCAAAUUCAUCCUAUAUUUUCUCAAAUGAUAGAUAUAAAAUUCGGUAUGGAUUCGAAAACAAAUUCGGUAAUUUUUUCACAUUUUUUGUUGUAGGGAGCAAAUAAUACAUAAAACAAUUUAUGUAAUAUUUUAUUCUUAUUUGUAAUAAUAUGCUUAAUAACAUAAGAAAAGAUCAACAUCAAAUUUUAUGCAUACCUAUUUUAAAAUAUUAACUUUGUGCUAAUAGUUAGGAUUACCACUUUCAUCCCCCCGUCAGCACGCGCACCAGGGAGCUAGCCGAUGGCUGAGGCACUCCCUACGAUGACCCCUUCGGUCAUGCCCAUAGUCGUAGCCCCGUGCGUUGCCACGAUCGCAGUUGCCCGUCUGCGUCGAAGAUGGAACUCAUCUGCCCCGCUCUACCCUUGUCUACUCCUAAAUGUCACUCGUCUACCCCUCGUCUACCCCUUGCACGUUCGCAUCGUUCAUGUGCGUCGCACAGCUGGUCGCGUGUGUUGUUUGCACGUAGUCAGAGCUGUCGCGCACGUCGCAUGAGUUGUCACACCCGGAUUUAAGGGCAAAUCCAUCCGCGAAUCAAAUGUGUGUUAGGAUCAAGUCUCACACAUAUGAUGACUCAUGGUAUAGAAACGAAUGUCAUAUCUUUACUAUAUAAUAGGAGUUAUGUACAAAAUAACUAAAUAAUUACAUCAUACAAAGACAAUGAUCCGACAACCAUAGUUGAUUGGGAGAUGACGGCCUAGAUCUCUCACGAACGCAUCGUGGCAUCCUUCAUGCUCCUUAUCCUGCAGUACAUGUUCUUGACCUAGGGGAUCUAAGUACAACAAGGGUGAGCUCAUAUACGUUCAUCGCUCAACAAGUUGUGGAGAAUAAUGUGCAUGAGCUCACUUAUGGUGGGGGCUCAUGUGAAGUGUAAGGCUUACCAAAGGAGAUGGUUAAAGUUGAUCGUUGCUUUUAAAGUUGGUCAAAGUUUUAUUAGCAGUUACUAAGUAUAAGUAGACACCAACCCAAUCAAAUAAGGUAUCACAAUUAAUAAUGUAACAUCCCAGUUUUGAUCCCCAGGUUAGAAACCCUAAACUCCUAACCCCCCCUUAAUUCCUCCUAAGACCCCAUCUCAUGAAGCAUUUUAUUCAUCAUAUGCAUACACCAUAAUUGCUAGUAGCACUUCACAUAGAGUAUUUCAUUUUGGCACCCAAGAAAUUUAGAUGAAUAUUUGUUUGGAGAAGAAAAAGGGAUUUAGGAAAAAGAAAUAGAAAAAGAAAAAAGGAAAAUCCCUUCUCCCCCCUCUCGGCUAGGCUGGAUCCGGCCCAAGCUUUUUUUCCCCUCCCUCUCGUGCGCCCACGCUCCUCCCCCACCUCAUGGCCCACGCAGCCCAUCUCCCUCGUGCCACGCUCUCCCCUGACAGCCCGGCCCCACCCAUCAGCCACGCUCGCCCUUUCUCCCUCGCACCCGCUCUUUCGCUGACAGCCCGGCCCCGCUCGUCAGCCCCUUCCCCCUUGCCCGUGAUCGGCCAACGACACGAUCGUCGCCGGCCACCGCCCACCCCUUCUCCUCGCCAUUACUCACCCACUAGCACGAAUUUAGCGCCUUGCGUCCCCGCGCACUGUGGCCGAGCCGUCCCAUCGCCACCACUGUGCCGCCAUCAUCGCCGCCGUAGCAAGCUUCAUCGGUGCCCGCCACUUCCUCCUCCCCCCUCCCCGGUUGCCUAUAAAAGGACCGCCCCAAGCCCCUCAUCUCCUCGCACCAGCCUCGGCCACUCCUUCCCCCUCCCCUGGACCCAAUCGAGCUCAGCGCCGUCGUCUCUCCCCUCUCCAGUGAGCUUCUCCCUCCCCUCUCCGGUGGCUUAGAGUCUAAUCGAUGUAGUUCACGAGCUUCGCCACUUCGCCACAAGCACAGCGCGCCUUUCUCCCUCGUCUAUCGCGCCCAGUAGCCUCGCCAGCAACCCCACCGCCGCGGAAGCCCGCCACCUCACCAUGGACCCGCCAUCCCGAGUGUCCAUCGACCAAAUUAACCCCACCACCAUGACCCCCUACCCCUAGCCACACUAUCCCACCUCCCCGACCACCCGGAACCGGAACCACGGCGGAGAACCAUCGUGGAACCUCGUCGACGGUCGGUUUUUCCCGACCCUAGCCGAUUCGCCCCCUCUCUCGUCAGACUGCCCGACGUCGUCGGCUCUUCCCCUCUCUCUGACGCGUGGGCCCGCGCUCACAGCGUCCGCCCGUGCCGUCUCCCCUCCUCGUGGGUCGUCUGGGCUCAUUCGCCCGCGGCGCCGCGCUGGGCCGAAACCCCCCUCGCCCCUGGCCCAGCUAACCGAGAAUUCCUUCUCCUUUUUCCUUUUCUCUUUUUCUUUUCCUAUUUUCUUAUAUAUAUGUAUAUAUGCUGAUAUUUUAUGCACCAAAAAAAUAGUCCAAAUAUUCCUUAAGUCACAAAAUAAUAACUUGACACACUUUAUUAGCCAACAAUGUUUGAUGUGCUAUUUUUUCCUGUUUUUGCGAGGCGAAGAGGGGCCCGACCCUCCGAAAUUCAUAGCUCCGGAAGACGGGCAGGAGCCCGACCUCUCAGAAAUAGAUCUUUUGUGCCAAGAGAACUUCGACGAAGGCAUGUCCAUUCUCCCCUUGAUGCAUAAAUUACCUACUCUUUCUACCACUUCCUAAGCCGGGAAUAUGGGUUGGGUUCUAUGCAUUGUGAGUGAGUGUUGGCCUGCAUUAAAGAAUAUUUUUUGGGUACAAAAUAUGGGUUGAGGCAUUGGUGGAUUUCUAAAGAGAGAAAUGUUUUCAAUAAAGUAUAUGAUGAAGGGUAUUCACCCUUAUCACCAAUUGAGUGGGAUGAUUAGGGACUCCCUGGUUUAGGGGAGGGCCUCAGGUGUUGGCUCAGCCGGGUUAGGUGUGAGCAUGAAGGAUCGUCCCCUCAUAUAAGGACUGGUUUGUCAUCCUUCACUACCUGUACUCAUGACAAGUACAACCACUCGGGACUGUAUGGGCAGUCACUCAAUCUGAACUUGUACGGUCCGAACCCCAGGGUUAUGAUGGCUGGGGAGCACCGAGAGGAUUAGGAAGGGGAAUGUUUUGUCCGGUUUGGGGCAUGGUGGUGGCCUGACUCCUUCCGGUAUAAUCGUUAAGGUAAGGACGUGCAAGGAAGGAAAGAGAUUCGGAUUCGGGUCUCAUUGGCCAUGAGACCGCAGAGCCGGGCUAGUGGGUAAAGUGUACACCUCUGCGUAGAGUUUGAAACCUAUUUGAAUAGUCUGUGUCCACUGGUAUGGACGAGUCUGGUGUGGUAUGGCAAUUAGUGUUUUGAUCUUCAUAAAUAGGGAAGUAUGUGUGGGUGCUUUUGGAAAUAAAAAUAAUACCACGGGAGCGGGAAGCUCAGUGGUGGUUGAGUGUGAAAAUGUGCUACUUCUCUCUUUUGGGUAAAACCUCAAGUAUCACCUUUCUCUAAAAAAGAAAUGAGUGACUUCAACAACACCAUACCAAGCAUGUACUAUAUAGGCCACUCUCUCUUUACGGGCGGGAUGGGCUUGCGGAAUACCUAGUGUAUUCACCCAGAUUUAUUUAUGUUUUUCAGCAGCUGAAGACUUCUUUUGUGCUAUGUUUGACUAGAAGGGGGCUAUGUCUGCACCCAGUCCACCUGUGGCUUGGGCUAGAUGAUCUUCCACUGUGCUAUGUUCCCAGGCUCGCUAGAGCGUGUAUUUUGGUAAUGUAAUAACUAUUAUUUGAAAUUUUGUACUAUUUGAAGAAAUGAAUGUGUUUACUAGCCUCCUGGGACUAGUAAUUGUAUCACAUUUGAGUCCCAAAGGAUCAGGACGCUUCAUGUGGUAUUAGAGCACAUAGGACUGGCCGUAGACCGCAACCUUGACCUAAAAAGCUUUCCUCAAAAGGAAAGACCUCGUAACCUCUUAAAGAACCUUCUCUUCUUUCCUCGAUAUUAACAACCCUUCUUCUCUUGCUACCAUAUGGAAGGCUCCUUUGUCAUUAUGACAUCCUAUUGCUCGGAGGUGGAAGGAUUCCCUCACCUUCUUCGGAGCUGUGUGCUUCGUAUGGGGAUUCGCAAGAAGCCAGAGUAUGUCUGGAAAGAAUACCACGAGAACAGGAUUGAGAAAUGCUCUAUGGCAGUCUACCUGGGAGAAAGCCGAAACUACCCAAAUCACCCUCCCUUUCAGAUCACCGCUACUGGCCACCGCUUCCCAGAUACCUGCCAGAAUGCUACCCAAAACGCCCUCCGCUAGCUAUGCCAAAACUACAGCAGGGAGGUCUCUGAGACACCCCUUCACUACUUUCCACCUAGCAACAAAAAUACUCCUGCUUGGAGGAAAAGACUCCAGGCCUUGUUAGGGAGAGAUCCUAAUGAAGAUGACCCUACCAUAGUCUACAUGGCCGGAUAUCUCCACACCAUUGACAACCACUUUGAUGACCUUUUCUCCCACUGCACCCACCUAAACUCCUAUGUGGAAAGUCUAGAGCAGCAAAUCAAGGAAUUGAAGGAAGAAAAGGCGGCCCUUCAAGACAGUCUUGAGAUGGCAGAAGGCGAAGAAGCCAACACUCGUGAGGCAUACCGAACCCUAAAGAUGGAUUAUGCUAGGAGGCUGAAGAAGCUCGCCCUUGCAAAGAAGAUCUGAAAGCGUUUCAAGAGCCAGGGAUGCCAGACUGACUUGAGGGAAGAAGCCCCGCCAACACUACCCUCCUUAGGAAUAGGGAGCCUUUUCUGACAUCAAGGAAGUGUCCCUGGCUAGCCUUAAUGAUCUUAUCAGGGAAUUUGGGGACACCUUAGAAAACGCUCGUGCAUAGUGUAAUCUAUGGUGGUUGUAUGCAUGUAAUGAACUGGAGUGCUGAAUAAAAUAACGUGUUUGAAAAAAAAUAUGGCAUAUGCAUAAUAGUAAUCCUUUCUCCCCUCUGGCAAAUGGCCUCGGAUAAAACCACGCAUACUGCCUCAGGAAUUGGAGCAAGGUCUCCCCUAGGUGUCGAAGGAGAAGUCGGUGGAGAAGGGAGUGAGACCCACCUCCCCGCGCCUCCGGAACUGCCAUUAGACCUAGCCCAAGUUCUGGCCAACCAAACCCGACUCAUUGAGGUCCUCACUAGAAGCCUCGAGAACCAACACCCGAUUGGAGGAAGACCUCAGGAUAGAAUGGGAGAGUUCUUAAGGCACAAGCCUCCCACAUUCGCCGAGUCUAGCAACCCACUCGAUGCUCAUGACUGGCUGCGCACAGUAAAGAGGAAGUUAGAGGCCAUCGGAUGCCCCGAAAACCAGCAUGUUCACCUAGCUGCUCAUCAACUCUCCGGGAUGGCCCAAACCUGGUGGGAUACCUUCAGCGCUGCUGUAAGAGAUGCUACCUGGGCAUAAUUUGAAGCUCAAAGUCGCCUAGAGGGGGGUGAAUAGGCGAAACCUGAAAUUUAUAAACUUAAGCACACACUAAGGUCGGUGGUUACUGUUAGAAUUAAAUUCAAGUCGGAAAGAGAGGGGAAAACAAAUCAAACAAGAAUCAAGGCGAGUGAACACGGUGAUUUGUUUUACCGAGGUUCGGUUCCAAAGAACCUAUUCCCUGUUGAGGAGGUCACAAAGACCGGGUCUAUUUCAACCCUUUCCCUCUCUCAAACGGUCACUUAGAUCGAGUGAGCCUUCUUCCUUAAUCUCACGGGUCACUAAGACCCCACAAGGACCACCACACACUUAGUGUCUCUUGCCUCGCUUACCAAGCACUUGAGAAUAAGAGUAGGAAAAGAAAAAGGCCAAGCCAAGCAACAAGAGCAACAAAGAACACAAGAACACCCUCUCUCAAGUCCCUAAUGGAAUUGAGUGAAUUUGGAGGCUUAGAGAGGAUUCAAUCUAUUUGAUGUGUCUUGCAGUGGAGUCUUUUGCUCUUGUAUUGAAUGAGAUGUUUGGAAUGCUUGGAUAUAUAUGAAUGAGGUGGUUGGGAGUAUUUAUAGCCCCUAACCACUUCCAUAGCCAUUGGGGAGGCUACUGGCGAUGGGCGCACCGGACAGUCCGGUGCGCCACCGGAUAGGCACUGUUCCUUGUCUGGUGUGCUACCACGUCACCCAACCGUUAGGGUUCGGAGUUGGUCGACCGUUGGAGGCUUUGUCCUCUUGUGGCACCGGACAGUCUGGUGCCACACUGGACAGUCCGGUGCCCCUCUGACUUCCUGCUCUGACUUCUGCCGUGACAUUGUUCAUCUGUCAGAGUCGACCAUUGCACGCAGAUAGUCAUUGCUCUGCUGGCUCACUGGACAGUCCGGUGGCACACCGGACAGUGCGGUGGAUUAUAGCGGAGGGUGCCCUGGAAUUUCCGAGAGUGGCUGGUUAACAUCUGUACGGUCCUGGUGCACCGGACACUGUCCGGUGGCACAUCGGACAGUCCGGUGCGCCAAUUCUCAACACACUCAAGUUCUUUGCUCCGUUUCAAAUUGAGUCCCUAACUUGAUCCUUUUCUUGGUUUGUGUUGAACCUUAUGCACCUGUAAUAGAUGAUUUCUAGAAUAAACUAGUUAGUCCAUGUGUUUGUGUUGAUUAUCAACCACCAAAAUUAAUUAUAGGAAAUGGUUAACCCAAUUUCCCUUUCAAUCUCCCCCUUUUUGGUGAUUGAUGCCAACACAAACCAAAGCAAAUAUAAAGUGCAGAAAUGUAACUAGUUUGCAUUUUAGAUUGUGCAUAGGUUACUUGGCGUUAAACCAAUUGAAAAUUUUAACUAAGUAUGAAUGGAUUGCUUUUCUUUUAUUAACAUUUUGGACCACAUUUGCACCACUUGUUUUGUUUUUGCAAAUUCUUUUGGAAAAUCUUUUCCAAGUCUUUUUGCAAAUAGUCAAAGGUAUAUGAAUAAGAUUGCAAGAAGCAUUUUUAAGAUUUGAAAUUUCUCCCCUGUUUCAAAUGUUUUUCCUUUGAGUGGCGUUCUCUUGACUCUGAGACGAUUGGACUCAGGACAGACGACACCGUUGAGGCAGCAGCCAUGAAGUCUCUGACGACUUUCUGUGGCUACCAUCCCCUGGAGAUGGUGAUGCACCCCUUGGGACUCUUCCCUACUGAAAAGAAGGAUGAUCCCAUGUGGUGUAACCGCGUGAGCCAUGUGAAGGAUGUGUGGGCAAUGUAUCCUGACUUGGUUGGGAGGGUCACUGUUCAGUGCAUGAGUGCGCUGUACCGCCUUCAGGCCCUUCAGAGCGAUGCUAUGGCACUUCUUGCUAACACCGCUCAGACUGCCAAGCUCACUCUCGACAGUCGGGAAGAUUUUGUGGUCGACCUAUCCACGGAGUUGGUGGAAAAGGACCUGCAGGUGGAAAGGCUGAGCCAGCGCAUCACCACCUUGGAGCAGCAGGUGGAGAUCCGAGACAACACUAUUGAUGUCUUGGAGAACCAGCUUCACGAUGUGCAGAGGGAACUCGAAGAAGCAAACGACCACUUGGACAUGCACCACCUGGAGAUGGAGGCCAAUGAAGCAGGAAGCGAGGGAGAAGAGGCUCCCGAGGAGCUAGGACCAGCCCCUGGUGCCAAUGGGACUACCUCCGCGAUGCCUCCUUCACCCGUAUCCAGUGUCGCUUCCACCGCUCAGGGUUAAGCAGUCACUUCGACACUUUUAGGCGGAUAGAAACCUAUGUGAGCUUAGUAAUAUCACAUUUUGAACUAGGCUUAUGGGUACUUUCCCCUGAUUGAUGUAACCCUGUUGUUGGGGACCUUCGGCAUCCGAAGGUCCUCAAAAACAGGUUUUAACAGUAUUUCUGGAGUACAAUGUGUGAGCAGGUAUCCUCGGACAAGUCGGCGUUGCUGUAAACCGGAAUAAUACGAAGGUUGAUACAGAGCCGAAGGUGUGAGCAGGAAAGCUUCGGCGUGACAGCAAAGAGUGGAACCGACUUAAAGAUGAAAAGGCUAUUCAGACCUCGGUAGACUACUAUAGAAUUAUUAUCAAAUGUAAAGGGCAUGAAUGUAAUUUUGUAAGGGCUGUGUCCCGUGCCUAUAAAUAGGUGAACAGUAUCCCUGUACUGGACACACUGACUUGGCAUUCGCUUUUUGCGUCACACUUGUAUUGUCAUUUCCUUCCGAUGAAGGUACACAUGUGAUUCAAUAAUAUUUUUAUUUAUGCUCAAUAAUAAUGAUUGUUCAUGUGCUUAACUCGGGGUGGCCACUAAACCACACUCACAGAGCGAUCGGUUUGAGUUAAUACUAACUUAAACUGGCGCAGCACACUCGGCGCGCAUACAGUUACUCAUCUAGGGGCGGCCUCUAUGUCCCAUGAAGAAGUCUCGAAAUCAUCACGCAGCAUUUUACUUCUACAAAUUUAGAUACUGCUGAAUUCUAAACAAUAGGAGAAUAAUAGUAGCAUUCAAUAUUAAGCAGGUGUCCUCUAACAAAAUAUCCGAGCACGUUAACCGCGCGCUCAAAGCACGCAAUGUUUUUCUAUUUUGCAACAUUCUUCCUAGGAGCAGCCGACGAAGAAGGGCGACUUGAGGAAUCAGGAGCAGCGUUCACAUCAGCCCUUAUGUCGUCGGGGACAACCACACCAGGUCUCCCCAUCAAGAUCCGCCCUGCGCGAAUGGCUUUAUCCAUAGCUCUGUCGCGCUGGGCCCUCAGAGUAGCGGAAGUUUCUUCAGCAACCUUGAUAGCCAACUGAGCAGUCUCUAGCUCCUGGGCGAUGGACUUCUUGGAAGCACGCAGUUCCUUGAUGAUAGCAUCUUUAGCCGAUAUCAACUACCUGAGGCGAAUCACGUCGUCCAAGGAUUCCUGCAGUUUAUAACGAUGAUUGUCCAACUCCUCCAUGGUGAAGCGAUGACUCCUCUCCAAGAUGGUCAACGAGUUGCUAGAGUCACGAUAUAGCCUGUCGAGAUUGUCACGAGAAGUAACAAGGGCACGUUUUUCUUCCUGCAAACAAGAACCAGCUUCUUCAAACGUCAAGCAAGCAAUAAGAACACGACAAAACAAAGCCCAGAUUCACAGGUCACCUUUUCAGAAUCGAGCUGAGCACGGAGAGUAGAGUUCAGCAUGUUAGCAUCAUUCAGAGCAACAGAAACCUAGGCUAGCUCAGUCUGACUUUGGGAAUACUUUUCCUCAAGAUCAGAGCACCGCCGGACCAGUUCAGCCUGACUUUGAGAAUGUUUUUCUUGAAGAACAAAAUACUGCCGAGCCAUAUCUGGCGAGAGACAGUCAAGCAAAAGGGUUAAAGUAAGAAGCAGUUUAAUAAAGUAGCCAAAAGGAAGCAGAAGAGCUCUAACCAGCAUUCGCCGCCUCUAAGUCAGAAACACACUGCUGAAGCAGCACCGGAUUCCAAUGCGCCAGAGACAAAGCUCCUUCUGGAACAGAAGCACCCUGCAACUUCAGCUGACUAGCCAUCCCGUCCACCAAUGCCUAACAUUAAGAACAGAUGGGUAUAAAAACAACAGUUUAUCCAGUGUAAAAGUCAGACUAGGAUAAACCAUAAUACGUGGAGGUUGGAGAAGAAUGAGGGGACCCCCAAAUCGUGAGAGAUCAACUGAUGGCUCGGCGAUGGAUCACCACCUGGAGCAACUUGCAAUGAAUCAGCAGGAACCAAUUCAGUGUCAUCAGUAGAACUCAAAACUUUGUCGUCAGGUACGCUGGCCUCUAAAGCGACUCCUUGACUAAAGGCUUGGGCUACCACCAUGCAACCAGAGUGUGGAGGAGAAGACCCUAUGUGAACAUCCAUGGAAGUGCAAGAGGGAGAACCCGCUCGGACACCCUUGGGGGCUGGGUCAUAGUUUGCGCUACCCAUUCGAGCCGGAUCGUCUCCGGCAACACCCUCGGGGGCUGGGUUGCAGCUUGCGCUACCCAUCCGAGCCGAAUCAUCCCCGGCAACACCCUUGAGGGCUGGGUGAGCGCCAACACCAUCCUUGAGGGCCGAGUUCUCUGCAGCAGCCACUUCUAAGGCUGAAGGUCCCUCAGUCACUUCUAUGGGAGCGGGGCAAUCCAAGUCAGCUUCCUGACCCUCAAGACCGCGCUCCAAGGUCGAUGAGGCGCGGGACGCUGCCCGGGAUGACCCCAACCCGACGUCGAGCACAUCAGCACAAACAUCCAUCGCAUCACCAUCUGCCGGUUCUGAUAACAGAUCCUCUAGAACCAUAUCUUCAAGAGUUUGAUCAAAGUUCGCCAGAGAUAAUUCUUGUAGACCAAUGAGGGCAGACAAAGCAGGAGAAGGAACACCACUGCUUUCCCCACUAGCUAUGUAACGCCGACUGUUCUUCCGAAUCAGAGGGAUUUCAUCUUCUUCCUCCCCCUCAUCUUCAUCAGCAACACGGACAGCACACCCAUUGGGGUCAGCGUCAGAUGGGUCACACCCAUUGGGAUCAGCUCCUACCACGGCCACUGAACAGUCACAAAAAUUCAAUAUGCAUUUCAAACCGUCUGAAGACACGUCAGGCGGCUGACGCCGCUUCACGCAACACAACACCCAUUGGGACUCCAGUCAACUGCGCUGGCGAUAUGAUUACACCCGCGGUCACAUCAAAUUACUACUCAGAAGCAGUUUGCUAAAACACUCAGCGUACCAAGUUGUCCCUUGCCUACACCCAUUGGGGGGGACGCCCAGGAAUUAUCAGUAUUUUUUCAAAACUGUCACAUCCGUGCAGUGCAUGCAAUGAAUACCUCAAGACAAAAGUGAGAUAUCAGCAGGGAUCAAAGGAAAGCCAAAUAUAGCUGGUGAAGUACAAGUCUGAUCGACAAAAGCGACAUGAAGACUAGCCAGGGGACGUCUAUCGAACGUCCAAUCAGUUGCAGAUCAAAUAAAUUGCACUACCUAGCAAGAUAUGGGCAGAUCAUGAACUCGGCUUCAAAGACAAAAUAUAUGCUGACCUCUAAAGCAUAAUAUCAAUAACAUAAUGCUGACCUCUAAGACAUUCAACAAGAAGAGAGGGUGACCCUCAGAAAAAGGGCAUGAAAUGAAGACCUUCGAGUGGAUUAUUUUCAAAAAUCCACUCGAAGCUCGGGGGCUACACCCAUUGGGUGCACCUUUGGUGCACCCAAUGAAUCGUCAUCUCAGAUCAAGACAAUGCUGACCUCUAAAGCAUAGGGUAAGAUCAAAACAAGGCUGACCUCCGACGAAGUACAAGUGGAAAAUAAAAGUAGUUUCUGAUAAUACUCGAAGUGAAGACCUUCGAGUGGAUUGUCUGCAAAAAUCCACUCGAAGCUCGGGGGCUACACCCAUUGGGUGCACCCAAUGAAGUUCAAAGUCCUACAGUGCGAAAUGCUGACCUCCGAAGCGUGAGUCUGAGACAGAACAUCAAUUUUAGAGUGAUAAAAGCAGAAGGAGACAGUAAGAAAUCGUUUUUUACCGGAUUACCCAGAAAGCACUUCCUGUUACAAACAAAGACUGCAAGCUGGACCUAGGAUCUUUGGGCUGAUUAUUUCAAAAUCAACCCAAAGAUCGGGGGCUUGUGGGGGACAAAUAUCCCCCAGGUCCACUGGAAGGAUAAAAGACCUCACGAAAGCCCCAGGGGCCCAAUAAAUCGUAAGGUCAUCCCUUCGUGGGCCUGGGGAGGAACGACCGGUGAAGAAGAUUGACAUAAGGCCGGAUUGGUGCAAGCCUAGACGGCCCAAUGACUUCGAGCAAGUAAUCACAACAGUGACCCGAUCUUCCCGCGCUGGAACCCCGUGCAACGGAACCAAGCGAGGAUGGGUCAGCGGAACUAUAGGAAGAUAGGCUCAAUUGGUUCACUAUCAUUUAGGCGCAUACUGCUAUCAUAUAUGCAUGUAAUGCCCCAUGGUCGAGUAUAUAAGGCCUAGGGGGCACCCCUUCAGAAUGAUCGAACUCACUACUCAGCCAUCUACCCCAACUCUCUACGUUCCCCGCACUAGAGAGCUCCCUUGUAACCCGCCACAUAAAGCAUUCUCACCAGGACGUAGGGUGUUACGCAUCUCAAAGCGGCCCGAACCUGUACAUCAUUGUCCACUGUUCCUCGUGCACCCAGCACGAACCAUCGAGCUACAGUCGGUAACACCGUCCUACUCCUAAAAAACACCUUGAGGGGCAACCCCGGGUGCGCGGUCGGACUAAAAACACCGACAGUACCAAAGCCCAAACUUAGGAGUGUAAACUAAGUAUCUCAUGAUUCUCUUUACGGAACUAAGGUGAACUUCCUUAGGAUUUGCCUGAAAUCUUGCACACAUGCAUACAGAAAGCAUAAUGUCCAGUCGAGAUGCACAUAAGUAGAGUAAAGAUCCUAUCAUCGACCGAUAUACCUUUUGAUCUACGGAUUUACCUCCCAUGUCGAGGUCGAGAUGCCCAUUGGUUCCCAUGGGUGUCUUGAUGGGUUUGUCAUCCUUCAUUCCAAACUUCUUAAGUAUGUCUUGAAUGUACUUUGUUUGGCUGAUGAAGGUGCCCUCUUGGAGUUGCUUGAUUUGAAAUCCAAGAAAAUACUUCAAAUCCCCCAUCAUAGACAUCUCAAAUUUUUGAAUCAUGAUCCUACUAAACUCUUCACAAGUAGACUUGUUAGUAGACCCAAAUAUAAUAUCAUCAACAUAAAUUUGGCAUAUAAACAAGUCUUUUGCAAUAGUUUUAGUAAAGAGAGUAGGAUCGGCUUUACCGACUUUGAAGCCAUUAGUGAUAAGAAAAUCUCGCAGGCAUUCAUACCAUGCUCUUGGGGCUUGCUUGAGCCCAUAAAGCGCCUUUGAGAGUCUAUAAACAUGGUUAGGGUACUCACUAUCUACAAAGUCGGGAGGUUGCUCAACAUAGACCUCUUCCUUUAUGGGUCCAUUGAGGAAGGCACUUUUCACGUCCAUUUGAUAGAGCUUGAAGCCAUGGUAAGUAGCAUAGGCAAGUAAUAUUUGAAUUGACUCAAGCCUAGCUACGGGUGCAUAAGUUUCAUCAAAAUCCAAACCUUCGACUUGUGAAUAACCUUUGGCCACAAGUCGGGCUUUGUUCCUUGUCACCACACCAUGCUCAUCUUGAUUGUUGCGGAAUACCCAUUUGGUACCUAAAACAUUUUGGUUAGGACAUGGAACUAAAUGCCAUACCUUAUUCCUUGUGAAAUUGCUGAGCUCCUCUUGCAUAGCCAGCACCCAAUCCAGAUCUCUUAGUGCAUCCUCUACCCUUUAUGGCUCAAUAGAGGAAACAAAAGAGUAAUGUUCACAGAAAUGAGCAACUCGAGAUGUAGUAGUUACCCCCUUAUGAAUGUCACCAAGAAUGGAGUUGACGGGGUGAUCUCGUUGAAUUGCUUGUUGGACUCUUGGGUGUGGCAGUCUUUUAUCCUGAAUUUCUUGAUCAUCUUCCUUGUCUUCAUUAUCUUCAUCUCCCCCUUGAUCAUUGUUCUCCUCUUGAGGUGGCUCAUCUUCUUGGUCUUCAUCUUAAUUAUCUUGAGCCUGAUCCUCAUCUUGAGUUGGUGGAGAUGCUUGGUUGGAAGAUGACGGUUGAUCUUGUGUUUGUGGAGGCUCUUCGGAUUCCUUAGGACACACAUCCCGGAUGGACAUGUUCGUUAGCGCGACGCAUGGAGCCUCUUCAUCAUCUAAUUCAUCAAGAUCAACUUGCUCCACUUGGUAGCCAUUAGUCUCAUCAAACACAAUGUCACAAGAAACCUCAUCCAAACCAGUGGAUUUGUUGAAGACUCUAUAUGCCCUUGUGUUUGAGUCAUAACCAAGUAAAAAGCCUUCUACAGCCUUAGGAGUAAAUUUAUAUUUUUACCUCUUUUAAUAAGAAUAAAUCAUUUACUCCCAAAGACUCUAAAAUAUGAAACAUUGGGCUUUUUACCAGUGAGGAGUUCAUAUGAUGUCUUCUUGAGGAUUCGGUGAAGAUAUAACCGGUUGAUGGAGUAGCAGGCAGUGUUAAUCGCCUCAGCCCAAAACCGGUCCAGAGUCUUGUACUCAUCAAGCAUGGUCCUUGACAUGUCCAGCAGAGUUUUAUUCUUCCUCUCCACUACACCAUUUUGUUGAGGUGUGUAGGGAGAAGAGAACUCAUGCUUGAUGCCCUCCUCCUCAAGAAAACCUUCAAUUUGCGAAUUCUUGAACUUCGUCCCAUUAUCGCUUCUUAUCUUUUUGAUCCUUAAUCUGAACUCAUUUUGAGCCUGCCUUAAGAAUCCUUUUAAUGUAUCUUGGGUUUGUGAUUUUUCCAGCAAAAAGAACACCCAAGUGAAGCGAGAAUAAUCAUCCACAAUAACUAGAUAGUACUUACUCCCACCGAUGCUUAUGUAAGCGAUCGGGCCGAAUAGGUCCAUGUGGAGUAGCUCGAGCGGCCUGUUCGUCAUCAUUAUGUUUUUGUGUGGAUGAUGGACGCCAACUUGCUUCCCUGCUUGGCAUGCGCUAAAAACCCUGUCCUUCUCAAAAUGAACAUUGGUUAGUCCUAAAAUGUGCUCUCCCUUUAGAAGUUUGUGAAGAUUCUUCAUCCCAACAUGGGCAAGUCGGUGAUGCUAGAGCCAACCCAUAUUAGUCUUAGCAAUUAAGCAAGUGUCAAGUUCAGUUUUGUUAUCAUUAAAAUCAACUAAAUAUAGACGACCUUCUAACACUCCCUUAAAUGAUAUUGAAUCAUCACUUCUUCUAAAGACAGUAACACCUGUGUCAGUGAAUAGACAGUUGUAGCCCAUUUUACACAAUUGAGAAAUAGAAAACAAAUUGUAAUCUAAGGAAUCUACAAGAAAAACAUUGGAAAUAGAAUGGUCAGGAGAUAGCAAUUUUACCCAAACCUUGAUUUCCAUCCCUGAAUGUGAUAGCUCUUUGGGGAUCAUCAUUUUUCUCAUAGGAGGAGAACAUCCUUUUCUCCCCUGUCAUGUGGUUUGUGCACCCGCUAUCGAUUAUCCAACUUGAACAACCGGAUGCAUAGACCUACAAAAUAAUUUUAGGCCUUGUUCUUAGGUACCCAAACAGUCUUGGGUCCUUUGGUGUUAGAAACAAGCACCUUGGGUACAAAACACAAGUCUUUGGGCUCUUGUGUUUGUCCCGAACAUAUUUGGUAACUAUUUUGCCUGAUUUGUUAGUUAAAACAUAUGAUGCAUCAAAAGUCUUAAAAGAAACAUUAUGUUCAUUUGAUGCAGCAGGAAUUUUCUUUCUAGGUAUUUUAACAUGUGUGGUAUGCCUAGAGCUAGAAGCUUCAUUUUUAUACAUAAAUGCAUGGUGAGAAACAUUAUGAGGCUUCCUAGCAUGAAUCUUCAUAAUCUUAUGUUCGGGAUAGUUAGCAGGAUAUAAAAUGUAACCCUCACUAUCCUAAACCAUGGGAGCCUUACCCUUAACAAAAUUAGAUAAUUUCUUAGGGGCAUUAAGCUUGACAUUGCUCCCCUGUUGGAAACCAAUGCCAUCCUUAAUGCCAGGGCAUCUCCCAUUAUAAAGCAUACUACGAGCAAAUUUAAAAUUUUCAUUUUCGAGCUCAUGCUCGGCAAUUUUAGCAGUUAAUUUAGCUAUGUGAUCAUUUUGUUGUUUAAUCAUGGCAAGGUGAUCAUCCAUAGCUUCUACAUUAACAUCUCUACAUCUAGUACAAAUAGAAACAUGCUCAACAGUAAAUGUAGAUGGUUUGCAAGCAUUUAAUUCUUCUAUUUUAGCAUUUAAUCUAACAUUCUCAUCUUUAAGACAGGAAAUAGAAUCAUUGCAAAUAUUCAAUUCUUUAACCUUAGAAACUAGACUAGCAUUUUCAUUUCUAAGACUAGAAAUUGAAUCAUGACAAAUGCUAAGCUCCUUAGUUAAGUUUUCACAUUUUUCUACUUUCUGAGCAUAAGCAUUUUUUAGUUUAACAAAUUUUUUGUUUUUUUUAAUGAGAAAGUCCUCUUGGCUAUCCAAGAGUUCAUCCUUCUCAUUAAUGGCUUCAAUUAAUUCAUUUAAUUUUUUCUUUUGGUCCAUGCUAAGGUUGGCAAAGAGAGACAUUAAAAUCUUCAUAAUCACUAGAGCUACCCUCAUCACUAGAUGUUGUAUAUUUGGGGGUGGCUCUAGAGUCUACCUUCUUCUUCUUCUUGCUAUCCUUAGCCAAGAGACACUUGUGGCCGACGUUGGGGAAGAGGAGGCCUUUGUUGACGGCGAUGUUGGCGGCGUCCUCGUCAGAGGAGGAGUCGGUGGAGCUCUUGUCGAAGUCCCAUUCCCGGCAUAUGUGGGCAUCGCCGCCCUUCUUCUUGUAGUAUCUCUUUUUCUCCUUUUUCUUCCAUUUCGUGUCGUCGUCCCUGUCACUUCCACUAGAAAUUGGACAUUUUGCUAUGAAAUGACCGGACCUACCCCACCGGUAGCACACCUUCUUGGAGCGGGACUUGUAGUCUUUCCCCCUCCUUUGCUUAAGGAUUUGGCGGAAGCUCUUGAUGAUGAGCGCCAUUUCCUCGUUGUCGAGCUUGGAGGCGUCAAUUGGAAUCCUACUUGAUGUAGACUCCUCCUUCUUUUCUUCCAUCGCUUUGAAUGCGACGGGUUGCACCUCGGGUGUGGAGGUGGCGCCUUGCUCCAAGUUGACAAUGUGUUUGGAGUCUUUGAUCAUUAGCUCAAAGCUCACAAACUUGCCAAUCACUUCCUCGGGAGACAUUAGUUUAUAUCUAGGAUCCCCACGAAUUAAUUGCACUUGAGUAGGAUUGCAAAAAACAAGGGAUCUUAGAAUAACCUUGACCAUUUCAUGGUCAUCCCAUUUGGUGCUCCUGAGGUUGUGCACUUGGUUGACCAUUGUCUUGAGCCGGUUGUACAUGGCUUGUGGCUCUUCCCCUUUGUUGAGGACGAAUUGACCGAGCUCUCCCUCGAUCGUCUCGUGCUUGGUGAUCUUGGUCACCUCGUCCCCUUCAUGCGCGGUUUUGAGGACGUCCCAAAUUUCUUUGGCGCUCUUUAAUCCUUGCACCUUGUUAUACUCCUCUCCACACAAGAAGGCGAGGAGUAUAGACGUGGCUUGGGAGUUAAAGUGCCUAAUUUGGGCGGCCUCGUCUGAGUCAUAGUCUUUGUCCCCCACCUUAGGUACCUGCGCUCCAUACUCAACAAUAUCCCAAAUACUUUUGUGGAGUGAGGUUAGAUGGUGCCUCAUUUUAUCACUCCACAUACAAUAAUCCUCACCAUCAAAAUAUGGUGGUUUUCCUAGGGGUAUGGAAAGUAAUGGAGUGCGCUUUGAAAAUACGGGGAUAGCGAAGACGCAUCUUACUAUACUUCUUGUGCUCAUGGUGCUUAGAAGCGACGGAUGACUCGGAGCUCGAUGUGGAGGGUGACGAAGAGUCGGUCUCGUAGUAGACCACUUUCUUCAUCUUCUUCUUCUUGUCACCUUUCCAAUGCGACUUGAUGGAGGAAGAGGAUUCCUCCUUGUGUUUGUUGCCGGACUCCCUUGAGAGAGUCCUCCCCGAGCUUGCAGACUUGUCGUUGGUCAUGAUCUCCCUCUUGGUGUGAUCUCCAGACAUCACUUCGAGUUGGUUAGACUCUUAAUGAAGCAUUGGCUUUGAUACCAAUUGAAAGUCGCCUAGAGGGGGUUGUCGGAGAGGAAAUUCUCCGGCUAGGUGGCGGAACGCAGCCGCCCUAAAUGCUAAGAUGUGGAGGGGCCUAAGCGUUUUGCAUGUCUGCUAAGCGGUGAACGAACACAAGAACACACAAGGGUUUAGAGUGGUUCGGGCCACCGGAGUGUAAUACCCUACUCCACUAUGUAAUGUAUUGAUCUUGAGAGCUUGUAUGAACUUGUGAGCGUCUAAGUCAGCUUGAGUUGUAACGUUGCGUGCCUCCCCUUUUGUAGCUAAAGGGGGGCACGUACAAGGGUGCUGAGCCCCGACAUGCGGGCCCAGGGACAUAACGGAUGUAAUGCUUGGAGCAACUAAUGCUGGUCGCCAGUGCAUCCUCCUUGUGCCCUGAUAUCCGCAACCUGCGUAGUAUCGGCGUGCAGCGGAAGCUUCACUAGCAACGUAUCGAGUCAUGAUGAGCACAGUGUACGCUGCAGCAUGGGCGUACUACCUGCCACCGGAGCGGAUGGGCACGCCGCCUGCAGGAUGGCCUGGCCGCCGCCCGUCAGCAUAGUGGGCAGUGCACAUUAAAUGCUGAGUCGGCACAUUGCCUGUCACUGGAGUAGACAGGGCGCAUUUAAUGCUGAGGCGGCACAUCACCUGCCAGCUUGACGAGCGACACGCCUCCUCCGCAAUAAAUGCGCGACCCAGAGGCCUUACGUCUGGCUCCGCACGCUGGCUCACGUCACGGGCAGUAAGCCACACGGCAGCAUCGGGUAUUCGCCUAAGCGGGGAGUGGGAGCGCUCGCGGUAUGGUCCAGACACGUGUCAGCACCAGACCCCUGCUUGACCUUGAUUAAGGCAUGGGUACUCUUUGCCUUGGAAUCCCGGGACCCACCGUGAGUAGCCCGGACCCCUCCUGAGGGGUUCGGGACCCGUUCCAGGGGUCUGGUUUGUACCUGUGGAGGUCUUGAACCUCGCCCGGAGGACUGGGCUGUGCAUCCAGGGGUCCAGCACUUUCCCGUCGCCACCUUGGAGUAUAUCGUCUCCUCUGGCCACAUGGUGGCCCUAGAGCCGCCCAUGUGGAGGGGUUAGGUGUUGUUCACCGCGCGACUAGAGAUAGCCGCGCGGGUAUGGUGUCUUCAUAUUGUAGUAAGGGGUACCCUUGAUUCAGGGUACCGACAGGGGUGAAUAGGCGAAACCUGAAAUUUAUAAACUUAAGCACGCACUAAGGUCGGGGGUUACCAUUAGAAUUAAUUUCAAGUCGAUAAGAGAGGGGAAAACAAAUCAAACAAGAAUCAAGGCGAGUGAACACAAUGAUUUGUUUUACCGAGGUUCGGUUCCAAAGAACCUAGUCCCCAUUGAGGAGGUCACAAAGACCGGGUCUAUUUCAACCCUUUCCCUCUCUCAAACGGUCACUUAGACCGAGUGAGCCUUCUUCCUUAAUCUCACGGGUCACUAAGACCCCGCAAGGACCACCACACACUUGGUAUCUCUUACCUCGCUUACAAAGCACUUGAGAAUAAGAGUAGGAAAAGAAAAAGGCCAAGCCAAGCAACAAGAGCAACAAAGAACACAAGAACACCCUCUCUCAAGUCCCUAAUGAAAUUGAGUGAAUUUGGAGGCUUAGAGAGGAUUCAAUCUAUUUGAUGUGUCUUGGAGUGGAGUCUUUUUCUCUUGUAUUGAAUGAGAUGUUUGGAAUGAUUGGAUGGAUAUGAAUGAGGUGGUUGGGGGGUAUUUAUAGCCCCCAACCACUUCCAUAGCCGUUGGGGAGGCUACUGGCGAUGGGCGCACCGGACAGGCACUGUUCCUUGUCCGGUGUGCCGCCACAUCACCCAGCCGUUAGGGUUCGGAGCUGGUCGACCAUUGGAGGCUUUGUCCUCUUAUGGCACCGGACAGUCCGGUGCCCCUCUAACUUUCUACUCUAACUUCUGCCAUGACACUAUUCAUCUGUCAGAGUCGACCGUUGCGUGCAGAUAGUCAUUGCUCCGCUGGCUCACCGGACAGUCCGGUGGCACACUUGACAGUCCGGUGGCACACUGGACAGUCCGGUGGAUUAUAGCGGAGGGCGCCCUGGAAUUCACGAGAGUGGCUGGUUGACAUCUGUACGGUCCUAGUGCACCAGACAGUCUGGUGCGCCAAUGCUCAGCACACUCAAGUUCUUUGCUUCGUUUGAAAUUGAGUCCCUAACUUGAUUCUUUUCUUGGUUUGUAUUGAACCUUAUGCACCUGUAAUAGAUGAUUUCUAGAGCAAACUAGUUAGUCCAUGUGUUUGUGUUGAUUAUCAACCACCAAAAUUAAUUAUAGGAAAUGGUUAACCCAAUUUCCCUUUCAGAACCUGCUUUUCGAGAGCAUCAUGUGCCCAUGGGAAUCGUUCAGCUCAAAGAAGAAGAAUUUUGGGAGUUAACUCAAGGAGGGCGAUCUGUUAGUGAAUACAUCCACAAAUUCACAGAGCCGGCUUGCUAUGCGCCUGAUGAUGUCAGCAUGGAAGCCAAGAAGAUGGCUCGUUCUUGAAGGGAUUGAGACCUGAACUCAAGACCAUCCUCGCCAGCCAAGACUUCCUCAGCUUCUCGCACCUCUCGAAUAAAGCUAUCCAGGUGGAAAGGGCAUGACAAGAAGAAAAAAGCCACCUCAAGAGGAAGUUUCAAGUUCUCCGAGCUCAACAACAGGACAGGCACCAGAGAGUUCGAUCUUUUGGGUUCCCUCCCAAAGGGACGAACUUCAGUAAGCCAAUAGGGUCCGCUUCGUCACGUUUCAGCCAGCCUGGUCAAAGUUCCCUCCACACCCCAUCUGUUGCAAGCAGCCAACCUCCAACCAAUGCUUGUUGGCACUGUGGAGACCCAGUCAUUACAAGAAUAAUUGUCCUCAGUUGAAGACAUCCGUACCUGCCUACUCCAACUCGGUGAAUGGCCCCAAGAAUGUUUCAUCACCCGCCUCCAAGGCACCCUCCACCAACAGCUAGCUAAGCAAGACCCAGUUUCACGGUAGGGCUCGAGUGAAUCACGUCGACGCCCAAGAAGCUCAGCAAGCCCCUGGAGUAGUGCUCGGUGAGUUCCUAGUCAAAUUUACCCCACAACUGUACUUUUUUAUUCUGGAGCAUCCCGUUCUUUCAUCGCCACUAGUUUUGUGUAAAAGCAUGGCAUCCCCACUGCAUCUUUAGAAAUCCCUUUGGUCACCCGAACCCCUGGGUCAGACCUUCUAUGCCACCUCAAAUGCUCUCAAGUCAGAAUUCUUUUAAGUGGGGUAGUAUUCUUGGCGGACUUAGCCGUACUACCAUCCCACGAGAUUGAUGUGAUCCUAGGAAUGGAUUGGUUGACCAAGCACAAUGGUAUCAUAAGUUGCGCAGAUAAGACUAUUCUUCUCACUGACCACCAAAGGAAAUCAGUUUCGUGUAAAGCUCAGCCACCAACCCGAGAUCCAAUGGUGUCCAGCCUAGCAGCAGAAAGUAUAUCUGUGGUGGAAGAAUUCAUGGUUGUGUUUCCGGAAGAAUUGCCAGGAAUGCCUCCAGAAAGAGAGGUAGAAUUCUACAUUCAUCUCCUCCCAAGCACCACACCAAUCGCAAAGAGACCAUACCGCAUGGCUCCCACAUAAUUGGCAUAACUGAAGCUUCAGAUCGCAGAACUUCAACAGAAAGGGUACAUUCGUCCUAGUUCAUCUCCUUGGGGAGCACCAGUAUUGUUUGUCACCAAGAAGGAUGGGAGCAUGAGAAUGUGCAUUGAUUACAAAUCCUUAAAUGAAGUUACAAUCAAGAACAAGUAUCCACUACCUCGGAUUGAUGACCUCUUCGACCAACUUCAAGGGGCUAUGUAUUUCUCCAAGAUUGAUCUAAGGUUAGGAUAUCAUUAGUUGAGAAUCAAGGAAGCGGACAUUCAGAAAAUAGCCUUUGUCACCCGGUACGGUCAGUACGAGUUUAUAGUAAUGCCCUUUGGAGUAACCAACACACCCGCCUUCUUCAUGAAUCUUAUGAAUAAGGUAUUUAUGGAAGAGUUGGACAACUUUGUCGUAGUCUUUAUUGACGACAUUCUUAUCUACUCCAAGAGUCGUGAGGAUCAUGAGCAUCACCUCCGGAUUGUCCUCGGAAGACUCAGAGCGCAUCAACUCUAUGCUAAGCUCAUCAAAUGCAAAUUUUGGUUAGAAAAGAUAGCCUUCCUCGAGCAUAUCUUGACAGCAGAAGGGAUAGAAGUGGACCCAUCCAAGGUAGAAGCAGUAUCCAAAUGGAAGCAGCCAUCCAACGUUAGUAAGUGUGAAGUUUUUUGGAAAUGGCGGGAUAUUACUGCCGUUUUAUCAAAGGAUUCUCCAGCAUUGCAAGACCCAUGACCGAACUCCUCAAGAAAGACAACAAAUUUGUGUGGACCCCAAAGUGUGAAGGAAGUUUCCAAGUCAUAAAGGAUAAACUCACAACCGCGCCAGUAUUGACACUGCCAGACAUCCAUCAAAGUUUUGUCAUCUUCUGUGAUGCUUCAAGACAAGGUUUGGGAUGCGUACUUAUGCAGAAUGAGAAAGUCAUCGCCUAUGCAUCUCGCCUACUCAAGCCUCAUGAGCAGAAUUAUCAAAACCAUGAUUUGGAACUAGCAGCCAUAGUGCAUGCUCUUAAGAUAUGAAGACACUACCUGAUUGGGAACAAAUGUCAUAUAUUCAUAGAUCACAAGAGUCUGAAGUACAUUUUACCCAACCAGAUCUCAACCUCCGUCAGCGAAGAUGGCUAGAACUAAUUAAGGAUUAUGACAUCGAGAUCCACUACCACCCCGGAAAGGCUAACGUAGUAGCAGACACCCUCAGCCGGAAACCUUUCGGGGAGAAAGCAACAAACUUCUUGGAAGACUAGAAGAGAGAAUCAGCUCAACUGAAUGCUUGUUUGGGAGAAAAUGGUAGUAUGGAAGUUAAACCGAUGCUGGAAGAUCUCAUUCGCAAAGCUCAGCGUUUGGACGCCGAGAUGGCAGGACUUGCAGAAAAGGCUAGUGAGGAACAACUUCCAGAUUUUAGGACAGAUGAAAAGGGAGCCCUCUGGUUCAAAAACUGUCUGUGUGUACCGAAGGGAGAGGCACGAGAAAUCCUGCUAGACAAAGCUCACAACUCAUCCUAUUCUAUCCACCCAGGGUCUACCAAGAUGUACCUAGACCUCAAGACCAGAUAUUGGUGGAGAGGAAUGAAAAAGGAGAUGGCUUAGUAUGUGGCCCAGUGUGAUACUUGUUAAUGAACUAAGGCAGAACAUCAGAGGCCUGCAGGCCUACUGCAACCCCUCCCAGUGCCCAAAUGGAAGUGGGAAGAAAUAGGCAUGGAUUUCGUAAUUGGACUGCCCCGAACCCAAAAAGGGAACGAUUUUAUCUGGGUUAUAAUUGACUGUCUUACCAAGGUAGCUAACUUCAUUCUAGUGGAGACUACCUUCGGAGGAGCCACCCUUGCCCGGAUAUAUCUCAAAGAAAUAGUCAGACUUCAUGGCAUUCCACGAAGAAUAGUGUCAGACAGGGGAACACAAUUCACCUCAAAAUUUUGGAUGAGCCUUCAGCAAGCUAUGUGCACCAAGCUAGAUUUCAGCAUCGCUUACCACCCCCAAUCAGAUGGACAAACAGAAAGAGUCAACAAAGUCCUCGAAGAUUUGUUGAGAGCCUGUGUGUUGACCUUCGACAGAAAUUGGGAAUCCAGUUUGCCGUAUGCAGAAUUCUCGUACAACAACAGUUACUAGGCCAGCAUGAAGAUGUCACCUUUCGAAGCCUUGUAUGGAAGGAGGUGCCAAACCCCUCUGAUGUGAUCAAACGUGGGGGAAAAGACCCUAGAAGGACCUGCCUUCAUCAAGGAGGCAGAAGAGAAAGUUGCCCUAAUCCGCAAGAGACUACUCGAAGCUAAGAGUCAGCAAAAGAGUUACACAGACAACAGAAGGAGGGAAUUCAGUUUCGAGGAAGGAGAUUCUGUCUACCUCAUGGUCUCCCCAAUGCGUGGAGUCAAAAGAUUCCAAGCAAAAGGGAAGCUAGCUCCACGAUUUGUGGGCCACUACCCUAUCAUCGGCAGAAUAGGGCCAGCAACUUACCGUCUUCAGUUGCCAGAGUCCAUGUCAGAUAUCCACAUGUAUUUCAUGUAUCUCAGCUCUGAAAAUGCUUAAAAGUACCAGAAAGUCACAUCGCAGAGGAGUCAGUUCAGAUUCAGAAGGAUCUGCAGUACCGAGAAAAGCAGUGAAGAUUCUCGAUUCAGCCGUCUGAAAACCCAAAAAUUAGAAGUAAGGCUCUGUAAAGUCCAGUGGAGCAGAGAACGAGAAGAGGAGGCUACCUGGGAGAGUGAGGACUCAUUGAGGAGGGAAUACCCUUACCUUUUCUCAAACCCAGCCUGAAUCUCGAGGGCGAGAUUCUUUUAAGUGGGGUAGGUCUGUAACAUCCCAAUUUUGAUCCCCAGGUUAGAAACCCUAGACUCCUAACCCCCCUUAAUUCCUCCUAAGACCCCAUCUCAUGAAGCAUUUUAUUCAUCAUAUGCAUACACCAUGAUUGCUAAUAACACUUUACAUAGAGUAUUUCAUUUUGGCACCCAACAUAUUUAGAUGAAUAUUUGUUUGGAGAAGAAAAAGGGAUUUAGGAAAAGGAAAUAGAAAAGAAAUAGAAAAAGAAAAAAAAGGAAAAUCCCUUCUCCCCCCUCUCGGCUGGGCCGGAUCCGGCCCAAGUUUUUUCCCCCUCCCUCCCGCGUGCCCGCGCUCCUCCCCCCACUCAUGGCCCACACGGGCCAUCUCCCUCGUGCCACGCUCUCCCCUGACAGCCCAGCCCCACCCGUCAGCCACGCCCACCCUUUCUCCCUCGCACCCGCUCUUCCACUGACAGCCCGACCCUGCUCGUCAGCCCCUUUUCCCUCGCCUAUGAUCGACCCACGACGCGAUCGUCGCCGGCCACCGCCCGCCUCAUCUCCUCGCCGUUACUCGCCCACCAGCACGAUUUUGGCGCCUUGCGUCCCCGUGCACUGUGGUCGAGCCGUCCCGUCGCCACCGCCUGCACCGAGCUGUCCUGUCGCCACCACUUUGCCGCCAUCAUCGUCGUCGCAGCAAGCUUCACCGGUGCCCGCCACUUCCUCCUCCCCCCCUCCCCGACCACCUAUAAAAGGACAGCCCCGAGCCUCUCAUCUCCUCGCACCAGCCUCGGCCACUCCUUCCCCUCCCCUGGACCCUAUCGAGCUCGGCGCCGUCGACUCUCCCCUCUCCGUUGAGCUUCUCCCUCCCCUCUCCGGUGGCUUAGAGUCUAAUUGAUGUAGUUCAUGAGCUUUGCCACUUCGCCACAAGCACAGCGCACCUUUCUCCCUCGCCUAUCGCGCCCAGUAGCCUCGCCGGCAACCUCACCGCCACGGAAGCCCGCCACCUCGCCGUGGACCGGCCAUCCCGAGUGUCCACCCAACAAAUUAACCCCACCACCAUGACCCCCUACCCCUGGUCGCACUAGCCCACCUCCCCGACCACCCGGAACCGGAACCACGGUGGAGAACCGCCGCGGAACCUCAUCGGCGGUCGGGUUUUCCUGACCCCGGCCGGUUCGCCCGCUCCCCCGUUAGACCGCCCGACGCCGUCAGCUCUUCCCCUCUCUCUGACGCGUGGGCCCGCGCUCACGGCGUCCGCCCACGCCAUCUCCCCUCCUCUUGGGUCGUCUGGGCCCAUUCGCCCGCGGCACCACGCACACGCGCCCACACUGGGCCGAACCCCCCCUCAGGCCCAGCUAACCGAGAAUUCCUUCUCCUUUUUCCUUUUCUCGUUUUAUUUUCCUAUUUUCUUAUAUAUGUAUAUAUGUUGAUAUUUUAUGCACCGAAAAAGUAGUCCAAAUAUUCCUUAAGUCACAAAAUAAUAACUUGACACACUUUAUUAGCCAACAAUGUUUGAUGUACUGUUUUUGCCUGUUUUUGCAAGGCGAAGAGGGGUCCGACCCUCCGGAAUUCAUAGCUCCGGAAGAAGGGCAGGAGCCUGACCUCUCGGAAAUAGAUCUUUCGUGCCAAGAGAACUUCGACGAAGGCAAGUCCAUUCUCCCCUUGAUGCAUAAAUUACCUACUCUUUCUACCACUGCCUAAGCCGGGAAUAGGGGUUGGGUUCUAUGCAUUGUGAGUGAGUGCUGGCCUGCAUUAAAGAAUAUUUUUUGGGUACAAAAUAUGGGUUGAGGCAUUGGUGGAUUUCUAAAGAGAGAAAUUUUUUCAAUAAAGUAUAUGAUGAAGGGUAUUCACCCUUAUCACCAAUUGAGUGGGAUGAUCAGGGACUCCCUGGUUUAAGGGCGGGCCUCAGGUGUUGGCUCAGCCGGGUUAGGUGUGAGCAUGAAGGAUCGUCCCCUCAUAUAAGGACCGGUUUGUCAUCCUUCACUACUUGUACUCAUGACAAGUACAACCACUCGAGACUGUAUGGGCAGUCACUCAAUCUGAACUUGUACGGUCCGAACCCUAGGGUUAUGAUGGCUGGGGAGCACCGGGAGGAUAAGGAAGGGGAAUGUUUUGUCCGGUUUGGUCAUCGUGGUGGCCUGACUCCUUCCGGUUUAAUCAUUAAGGUAAGGACGUGCAAGGAAGGAAAGAGAUUCGGAUUCGGGUCUCAUUGGCCAUAAGACCGUAGAGUCAGACUAGUGGGUAAAGUGUACACCUCUACACAUAGUUUGAAACCUAUUCGAAUAGUCCGUGUCCACUGUAUGGACGAGUCUGGUGUGGUAUGGCAAUUAGUGUUUUGAUCUUCAUAAACAGGGAAGUGUGUGUGUGUUUUGGAAAUAAAAAUAAUACCACGGGAGCGGGAAGCUCAGUGGUGAUUGAGUGUGAAAAUGUGCUACUUCUCUCUUUUGGGUAAAACCUCAAGUAUCACCUUUCUCUGAAAAAGAAAUGAGUGACUUCAACUCCACCGUACCAAGCAUGUACUAUAUAGGCCCCUCUCUCUUUACGGGUGGGAUGGGCUUGCGGAAUACCUAGUGUAUUCACCCAGAUUUAUUUAUGUUUUUCAGCAGCUGAAGACUUCUUUUCUGCUAUGUUCGACUAGAAGGGGGUUGUGUCUGCACCCAGUCCGCCUGUGGCUUGGGCUAGAUGAUCUUCCACUGUGCUAUGUUCCUAGGCUCGCUAGAGCUUGUAUUUUGGUAUUGUAGUAACUAUUAUUCGAAAGUCUGUACUAUUUGAAGAAAUGAAUGUGUUUACUAGCCUCUUGGGACUAGUAAUUGUAUCACAUUUAAGUCCCAAAGGAUCGGGACGCUUCAAAUAAUAACACCCACAAUGCAAUGCAAAUCACAGUAUAAGUUUAAUUCCAUAAUUUAAUCAUGUGAGUGUCGGAGUUGCUCAUGGCUGUGAGCACGACUGAUAUACCAGUUUUACACUCUUUAGAGGUUGCGCAUCUUUACCCCACAAGUCAUGUUACCCAUCUGCUAUGGGGUCAUGAAUCCCAGACACCUCUAUCGAGGAGGCGAGGUAGGGUAGUACUACGAGGCCUUAUCAAAGUUCCACUAGUUUGAGAAAACCCACUACGGAUUCCAGGAAGAAGGAAGCAUAGGAAUCCCUCGUCCGAAAAGCUAUACAUACAGUUCGACCCAAGGACCUCCCAAUACUCUGCAGCGACGCCUCCCCGCUUGCCCCUUUCAGGUAAGGUAGUCUCUCCCUAUCUUUCCUAAUUACUUAGCCAAGGGCGUCCCAUUCCACCCUUGUGGUAGCACUGUUUUUCUGAGUGGUUCUCCAUGUUCCAAUUAAUACAAUAAUCUUAUCAUAAACAAUAAUUAAACCAAUAGAAUUAAUGGAACUUGAUCAUAUAUAACAUUAAUUCUCAAAACCAGGUAGAGCAAUAGCAAAUCUACUCAAUAGUUCAUUUGUUUGCAAGGUUGUAAUACCCAAUUUGUAAAUAAUAAGAAAAGAGUUCAUCUCAUUAUAUGUUUGCCCUCUACUUAAUAGAACAUGAGAAUAACCAUAUUUAAAGUGAAUAAUUAACUAAUGACACCUACAAUAAUCUAUGCAUCAUGUUGGAGUUUAUUUGUGUGUGUGCAUUUAAUAAUAUUAUUAAUAAUAAUAUUAAUAGAAAUACAUUAAUAUCCAAAUUGGGAAUUAAUACCUAGUUUGCAAUCUAGAAUUUGGAGAAAGAGAAGGAAAAUACCAUACAAAAUAAAGAAAAUAAAUAUAUAAAUAAAUGUAACCUCUCCAUACUGGUAUUUUCAACUUGUAUAUUUAAUCUAAGUACAAGUUCACAGCUAAAUUUGAAUUCAAAUUUAAACUCUAAAAAUAAAAAGGAAAAGAAAACAAAAAAGGAAAAAGAAAUGGAAAAAAAUUGCGCUUGGGCUGGUUCACUUCAACCAGCCCACCAACAAACUCCUGCGCGGCCCACCUCUCUUCGCAUUCGCACGCUAACAACCGUGGGCCACUGGUCAGCAACCCUCUCUUUUUGUCGCGUGUCGACAAGCGGGACCAACACGUUAGCUUCCUAUUGUCCCUCGGUGCGGCUUACUGGUGGGUCUCGUGUGUUGCUCGGCUGUCCGUGUGACGUGGGCACUCACUAGCUGAUGGGCCCAGUUUGUCAGCAACCACCUCCAACUACCGCGCCGAGCAUGGCGGCACCUCGGCCGUGGAUCUUGGGGGGCUCAUUGCGUGCGCCUGGGCUGGCCUACGGGGACUUAAGUAUCGAGUACCAGGGGCCCCAAACCCUCUCUCCCCAUCACGCCUCCAUCAUCCUCGUCGUGGACAGAAUUGAGAAGAAAAGGGGGAGAAGCGGGAGAGAGCCAGCCGCCGCCGCCAUCCCAUUCGCGCCCCGCCACUAGAAGCCUUUGAAGGGGUCGGGGCCAUCACCAAGGUGCCCCGAGAGCGUGAGUGGGUUCUGCAGGCAUCGGAGGGGGAGUAUUGCCGGGGAAUUGCUCGUCGGAGUUUAGGGACCGUGCCGAGCCGCAGUUCAUCGCGGACCAGACUCCUGUGCGUGCCACCCUCGGUGAGUAGGGGCUUUCCCGUUUUAAUUUGCUCGGCGUUACAUGUUGCAACCGGUCGAUCGGAGGUUAGGACGGUAGAUCGGGCGAUCGUGGUGGCCGGCGAAUGGCGCCACCGUAUGGUGCAUAUGCGCCGUCGUUCGGGGAGGCCGGAGGAGGUAGAUGGGUUUGCCAUUGUUGAUCCAUGGGGGUGCGGCUAGGAUUGUAUCAGGUGGAAACAAGAUAGGAGUCGUCGAUCUCGUUUUGGUCAGUCGGGAUUAUAAUGUAGGUACCCCCUUUAGCGCUUUAAAUCCAUGUCGUGGGUUAUCCAUUUGAUGGCCAAGAUCGGGCCCUGGCGUGGUCAGAUCUUGGGCAUUGAUUUUAGAUCUGAGGGUCAGAAGCGAGUACCGGCUUAGUAACCGGGAGAUCUAAUCUGGGACAUUCAUAUUUGAUCCAUCGACCGGGAUUCUGGGAUACCCCUUGAGACGAUCAAUUUUUCAAAAGAGCCCUUAUGGAUUUUGGAAAACAACCCGCGGUCCAUAGUAAUAGUAAGGUAAUUGCGGAUGAACCUAGAAAACUAUGAUUCGGGCCUUGAACUCUCUAUUAAUCGUGCGCGCGGUCCAGACACACAGUGAAUUAGAUAAAUCAAUAUAGAAACUAAUUUACUGUAUAAAAAUAAUUAUAGAAUCUUAGUUAAUUCAUAAUAAAUUCAUUUUAAUUCCUUUUUGAGCCAUUCCAGUUGCAUUAAUUUUGCUGCGAUGACGGUCAGACGAAGGAUUCCUGCAUUUGUGGGUAAAGGGUUUUCUAAAGACCUAGAAACUGUAGCGGGUUUUCUAAAGCUAGUGGAACUUUGUAAAGGCCUUGUAGUGUUACCCUGCCUCGUCUCCUCGGUAGAGAUGAAUGGGACUUCUAGACCCCUUGGCAACCGGGUGACAUGACUUGUGGGUAAAGGGUACAACUUCUGUAGAGUGUAAAACUGGUAUACUAGUCGUGCUCGUGGUCAUGAGCAGCUCUGGACUUUCGCAUGAUUAAAUUAUGGAAUUAAAUUCAAUUUGUCAUUUGCAUCGUAUUGUGUUUUAUUAUUAAUUUUGAUUUAUUAUUACUCUAGUUUGGUAUCUACUUACAUUUAGUAACUGUUAAUAAAACUUGACCAACUUAUUAAAAACAAUGCUCAGCUUUAACCCUUAUUUGUUGAUCAGCCUUACACUUCACAUUAACUCUCACCUUUGGUAAGUUCAUGCACAUUAUUCCCCACAACUUGUUGAGCUAUGAUCUUUUGUGAGCUCACCCUUGCGAUAUAUAAAUCUCCCCCACAGGAGAAGAACAGGUGGUCCAGGAGGUAGGGCUGGGCAUAGGGAUGGCAAUGGGGCCCCAUUCCCCGAUCCCCGGCGGGGAAUUCAUCUAUUAGGGGACGGGGAUGGUGAGAUAAUACUCCCCGCGGGGAAAGAAAUGGGCAAAAACCAAUCCCCAUCGGGGAUGGCGGGGCCGGGUACAGUUUAUCGCCGCCCAUACCCGUUACCCGUCGGGGACCCGAUAUUACACGUGGGACCAUUAACUCAGUGUCUCAAAUGUCCCAGCGUGGAAUACCAGAUCCUAAUCGCCAGGACGCCGCUCGCCCGCAGCCCGCUCCUUCGUCCUUCCCUCCCUUCACGGACCGCGGUCCCCUGCCGCCGGCAGCCCUGCUCCGCCAUCCGCCCCCUGCUCCGCUGCCUGCUCCUUGCUCGGGCGGUCGAGCCAGACGUCCUGCUCGGGCUAGCCCCCUGCAUCCACGAGCAGAUCCCCAGGCGGCCGCCCCCUGCGCUUGAGCAGAUCCUUAGGCGGUCAGGCGGCCAACGUCCAUCGUCCGCCCCUGUGCUCGAGCACAUCCCCAGGCAGCCAGGCAUCCUGCGUCCACGUGGAUCUGAUCGACAUCGGCUUCUUCCUCCAGCGUCCAGCCGUCGGCACUAGCUGCUCAGCCGCGUGGGCAUCGGCUGCUCGGCUGUUGGCGGGGAUUUUUCCCCAUCGGAUCCCCGUAUACCCGAUGGGGACGGGUACGGGGAAAAUUUCUCCCCGCGGGCGGGGACGGGGACGGGUAAUGGGGAAUUUUUACUUUGGCGGGGACGGGUAUGGGAGAGCAGUCCCCGACGGGGAGCAGCCCCGUUGACAUCCCUAGCUGGGCAUUUGGUCUAUUAGGGUAAUUCGGUUCGGUCUAUUCGGGUUUGUGAAAUUUUGGGUUCUAAAAAAUGAGAACCGAAAUUUUCAAAAUUAUUUUAGGAACCGAACCCGAAUAGACUCACAAUUUCGGUUCGGUCUAUUCGGUCCACCGAAUAGACCUGAAUAGUAGAGGGACUAGUAUCUUUUGUUAAAAUAUAUACAAUAAAUAAUUAAUUGAAAGUACUAUUAUUACAACAAGUAACUAUAAAAAAUAGCAUACAAAGAUAUAUAUACUACCAUUAAGAUGAUAUCAUUAUUUUUAGCUAAUAAGUUCAUAAAUCAUAUAGUAAUACCAUCAAAUAUUAAGAGCUUUUUUAUAUUUCGGGUUAUUCGGUCUAUUCAGGUUUUAAAUGUUAGGAACCGAACCUGAACCCAUACCCCGAAAUAUAGCACAUAUAGGAACCGAACCCAAACCCGAAAACCCGAAUAGACCGACAAUUCGGUCUAUUCGGGUUUGGUUCGGGUUCGGGUUCGGGUUCAGUUUUCGGUUUUAAAAUGCCCACCCCUACCAGGAGGAGCCUUACAACGAGGAGUACGAGCUUAUCUAGGUGGCGUCUCCCAGUCAGCUUUAUGGCACCAAGGAAUAAUGCUUAGUUCGCUUUAUUGUUCUUAUUUAUUUUUGUAAGACUUCCGUUAUGUAAUAAUGAUAUUUGUGACAUUUAUCUCUAUACACUUUGUCAUUAUAUGUGAUGUUCUUAUUUGGCGCACAUAUGAGACGCACCCGACUUCAUCCCUUAAAUCUGGGUGUGAUAGAAGUGGUAUCAGAGAAAAUGUUGACUGUAGGACGAAACCUAGAUAGAACUAGACAAAACCCUUACCUACUUAUCUUUACUCUGAUUCUUUCUAUACUUAUCUUGAUCCUAUCUCACCUUUUAGUUGUUCUACUCUGACUAUUCUUAUAUUUUCUACUCUAGAAAGACAAGAAGGAUUUCACACCUUGGAAUCCUACCUUUGUGACCCUCUAAAGAGAUAGGAGACCUAAGACAAAAAAAAAUUAUCUGCCUGAAGUGAUUGGAUGUUUGUUUUGAUGGUAAAUGCUUGAUUUGCUUCUUUGAUUGACUAAAAUAGUAUAGCAGGGCAUUCUAGCAUGUACCACCAUAAGAUAAUGUAUUAGUAUUAGUAGGUGACACUCUAAUCUACUGAGCCAAUAAAACCCCCAAAAGAUCAUGUCUCAUAAUUCCUCGUCUUAUCUGCAAUUCUAUCUUACCAUGUGUUUCUAACCCAGAUGGUCAAUACCUGCCAACCACCAUAGCAGGAGGAUUGUUAGACAACCACAACCAGAGAUGAGUUCUCCACCGAAUCCUCCACCGGUUGGGACAGAUCCAGUGGUUGCCGCUCAGAUGCGGAUGCUACAACAGAUGGCAAACACGAUGAAUGAAAUGAAAACUCAGAUGAGGCAAGAACAUCAGGAGAUGCGUCGGGACAGGCAGGAAAUGCGUCAGGAGAUGAGACAAGACCGAUUGGAGAGACAACAACAACAACCACUACCUCCACCACCACCAGCAGCUCCACCUCGGGACAAGCACCGGGAAUUCAUGAGUCACAAGCCACCUACAUUCUCCAGCUCUCCAGAUCCUCUACAUGCUGACGAUUGGCUGAAAUUAGUGGAGAAGAUGCUUAAUAUCGCUUAACGCACUGAUCGAGAGAAGGUGCUCUAUGCUUCAGGCUGUCUCACUGGCCCCACUGCUGAUUGCUUGGACUCCUACACUGCUGCCCAUGAUGCUGCCAAUAAUAUCACCUAGGCAGAGUUUGCUUUCAGAAACUACAAUAUUCGUGUUGGCCUGAUGAAAAUAAAGAAGAAGGAAUUCCUAUCACUGAAGCAAGGCAACAUGUCAGUCAGUGAAUAUUGUGAUAAAUUUAUUCAGCUGUCGAAGUAUGCUCCAGAUGAGGUUGCUGACGAUGAAAGGAAGCAGGAGCAUUUCAUGGAGGAACUUGUUGGACCACUUCAGUAUCAGCUGGUUGCUCACACCUUUCCAUCUUUCCAAAGGCUUCUAGAUAAGGCAAUAGCUAUUAAACACAAAUGUGUUCAGCUGGGUGAGAUGAGGAGGAAGGCUAUCACCUAGGGGCAGGGGAGCAGUAGCGUCCGUCCUCGCAAUGUUCCACCCUGGGUACACCGGCUCAUCCUGGAGGAGGGCAAUGGCCAGCUCAGUAUACACCACAAGGGACUCCACAGACUCCACACACUCGUUAGGCUGCCCCCACUGGCACCCCGGCGAGACCUGUAGGAUAGGGUACAGUCACCACUUGCUUCAAGUGCGGUGAGGUUGAGCACUACGCCAAUGCUUGUCCGAAGAAGAUCCCCAACACACCUGCUCGAAGCAACAUUCAGGGCAAGCAAUAGACUCCAACUUCUGGCAAGGGAUUCAGCAUUGCUAGAGUCAACCAAGUCAGUGUUGAUGCUAUCGCUGAUGGAGCUGAUAUCACUAUUGGUACGUUUUACAUUAAUUAAGUUCCUACAACCAUAUUAUUUGCUUCUGGAGCUACGUAUUCGUUUAUUUCUGCUCGCUAUGUCAACACAAAUGAGUUAUCACUUCAAACUAUGCAAAAAUCACUGAUAGUAAUUACCCCUAAAGGGCCUAUUGAGGCAAAUUAUAUGAACAACAGACUAACACUAACAAUUAUGGGAAGGGAGUUCUAGUCUAUGCCUAUAGUAUUAGAGGAGAUCAGUAUAGAUCUGACACUUGGUAUGUCAUGGUUAAGAAAAGCAAAGGCAGUUAUACAUUGCGCUAGGGGAACCGUAUAACUCACUAGUCCAAAAGGAGAAAGAUUUGAAGUCAUAAUUACCGUAACCCCCUCUACUAGACCCGUUGUUUAUCUAGUAGAUGGUAAAUUUGUGAGCAGAAAUCUCCGUGUGGUUAGAGAUUUCCCAGAUGUCUUUUCAGAGGAGUUACCCGGGAUGCCACCAGAUAGGGAAGUUGAAUUUGUUAUUGAUCUAUUACCUGGAACUGCACCUAUUUCAAAAAGACCAUACAUGAUGUCAGUAGAAGAACUAAAAGAACUUAAGAACAAUUAACAGAGUUACAGGAGGUAGGGUACAUUCGUCUGAGUUCCUCACCUUGGGGAGCACUGGUUCUGUUUGUACAGAAGAAGGAUGGUUCACAAAGGAUGUGCGUUGAUUAUAGAUCACUUAAUGAUGUCACCAUUAAAAACAAGUAUCCUUUACCUCGUAUUGAAUAAAUAUUUAUUUGAUCAAAUGAGAGGUGCUAGGGUAUUUUCUAAGAUUGAUCUCAGAUUGAGUUAUCACCAAAUGAAGAUUAGGCCUUCUGAUAUUCCCAAGGCGACUUUCUCUACCCGAUAUGGUCUAUAUGAGUUCACGGUCAUGUUGUUUGGCUUAACUAAUGCACUAGCCUACUUCAUGAAUCUGAUGAACAAGGUGUUCAUGGAGUAUCUCGAUAGAUUCAUUGUAGUAUUCAUCGACGACAUUCUUAUUUAUUCCAAGAAUGAUAGUGAGCAUGAGGAACAUCUAAGGAUGGUGCUAUAGAAGUUACAGGAUAAUCAACUCUAUGCCAAGUAUAGCAAGUGUGAAUUCUGGAUUGACAAAGUACCAUUCCUUAGACACAUCAUCUCCAAUGGAGGGAUAUCAGUGGAUCCGGCUAAAGUAAGAGAUAGUGGGAUGGAAGAUACCAAGCUCGGUUAGUGAAAUCCAGAGCUUCUUGGGACUUGCAGGGUAUUAUCGACGAUUUAUUAAGGGAUUCUCCAAGAUUGCUAAGCCUAUAACCUCACUAUUAGAGAAGGUGAUAGUCGCCUAGAGCGGGUGGAAUAGGUGAAACCUGAAAUUUAUAAACUUAAACUUGCACUAAGGCCGGGGUUAGUGUUAGAAUUAAAUUCAAGUGCGGAAAAUUGUUUCUCUUGCUAUGAGUUGCUCAAUUAAUGCGGAUGACGUUUGGGAGCAAACUCAAAUCAAUACUAGCAAAGAAACUUUAGAAAGAGGAAAGAGGGCAAAUAAAUCAAGCGAAGAUCAAUGCAAGUGAGCACGGUGAUUUGUUUUAUCGAGGUUCGGUUCCAAAGAACCUAGUCCCUGUUGAGGAGGCCACAAAGGCCAGGUCCAUUCCAACCCUUUCCCUCUCUCAAACGGUCACUUAGACCGGAUGAGCUUUCUCCUUAAUCACUUGGGUCACUAGGACCCCACAAGGAUCACCACACACUUAGGUGUCUCUUGCUAGCUUUACAAAGCACUUAUGAGAAUAAGAAUAGAGGAGGACAAAGCAAUCCAAGCAACAAGAGCAAUAAAUGAACACAAAACUCUUUCUCUCAAGUCUCUAAGUGGUUGAGUUGAUUUUGAGGCUUGGAGAGGAUUUGAUCUUUGGAAUGUGUCUUGGAGUGAAUGCUAUUGCUCUUGUAUUGAAUAGGAACUUCAGAAAACUUGGAUGCCAUUGAAGGAGGUGGUUGGGGGGUAUUUAUAGCCUCCAACCACUUCCUAGUUGUUGGCUGUUUUUGCUGCUGAUGGGCACACGAGACAGUCCGGUGGCGCACCGGACAUGUACUGUUCACUGUCCGGUGCGCGCCUCGUAAGCAUGCCCGUUGGGGUUUGGAGCGGUCGACCAUUGGAACCCUUUGUCCUCUAGCGGCACCGGACAGUCCGGUGGCACACCGAACAUGUCCGGUGCGUUCUGACUUCGCCGCCUGACAUCUGCUCGCGCAUUGUUCGUUUUUACUGUUCACUGCAGUCGACCAUUGGCGCCAGGUUACCGUUGCUCCGUUGGCUCACCAGACAUGUCCGGUGCACACCGGACAGUCCGGUGAAUUAUAGCGGAGCGCGCCUAGAAGAAACACGAGAGUGAGUUGUUCGAGAGCUGCUCGGCCUAGUGCACCGGAUACUGUCCAGUGCGCCACUUGCGGCACACUCUCAAUUACUUUGCUCCGAAUCUAUUUGAGUCCCCAACGUAAUUUCUUUCUUGGUUUGUGUUGAACUUUAUGCACCUGAGAUAAAUGACAUCUAGGCAAACUAGUUAGUCCACAUGGUUUGUGAUGGACGUCAACCACCAAAAUCGAUUAUCGGAAAUGAUUAAGCUCAUUUCCCGUUCAAUCUCCCCCUUUUUGGUGAUUGAUGCCAACACAAACCAAAGCAAAUGUAAAGUGUAAAACUGUAACUAGUUUGCAGUUAUAAUUGAUGUGCAUAGGUUACUUAGAAUUAAACCAAUUGAAAGACUUUAUACAUAUGUCUAAGAAUAAACAUGAUUGCUUUCUUCUAUUUAACAUUUUGGACCACAUUUGCACCACUUUCUUGAUUUUGCAAAUCUUUUGGAAAAAUCUUUUCAAAUUCUUUUGCAAAUAGUCAAAGGUAUAAGAAUAUGAUUUCAAGAAGCAUUCUCAAGAUUUUGAAAUUUCUCCCCUUGUUUCAAAUGCUUUUCCUUUGACUAAAUGAAAGCUCCCCCUGAAGAAAUUCUCCCCUUAGCUUUCAAGAGGCUUUUUGAAAUGAUUUUCCCUUUUUGGAAUAGAUACCAAUUGAAAUUUAAACCAAUUGAAAUUCUUAUACUUAGUGAAAUUUUGAAACCAAAAGAGAUACCAAUUGAAAAUCCAUUUUGAGACUAACUCAAAUACUAAUUGAAAUAAACACUAAUGAAGUAAUUUCUUCCUUUAUUUUUGAAAAUUUUGAAAUGGUGGUGUGGUCCUUUUGUUUUAGGCUUAAUACUUUCUCCCCCUUUGCAUUAAUCGCCAGAAACAGAGAACUUGAGAGCCAUUUUUAAUUCUCCCCUUAUGGGGCCUAAUACUUUCUCCCCAAUUGGUAAAAGAAAUAUGAGUGAAGGGUUAUACCAAUUGAGAGUUCCCAGAGUAACGACAAAGGAUGAAAGAUACUGUCAGAUUUGGAGUGGAAGCCUUGUCUUUGUCGAAUACUCCAUUUCCCUUUCAAUCUAAGACUAAUCAUAGAGAUAUACUUGAAAGCACAUUAGUCUUAGCGUUGGUACAAGAAGAAUAAGAAAUAUGCAUUUGUACCAAAUAAAAGAGACAUAAUCAAAGGUAUAUAAAUUAGCUAUGUGUGCGAUGUUUCAAUCAAAGUUCCGAGAAUCAAGUAUAUUUAGCUCAUUCCUAAGUUUGUUGAAAGUCUUUUCAUCUAAUGGAUUGGUCAAGAUAUUGGCUAAUUGGUUGUGAGUGUUAACAUAAGUAAUUUCGAUAUCCCCCUUUUGUUGGUGAUCUCUCAGAAAGUGAUACCGGAUGUCUAUGUGCUUAGUGCGGCUGUGUUCAACGGGAUUAUCCGCCAUGGGAAUUGCACUCUCAUUAUCACAUAGGAGAGGGACUUUGCUCAAUUUGUAGCCAUAGUCCCUAAGAGUUUGCCUCAUCCAAAAUAAUUGUGCACAGCAAUGACCUACAGCAAUAUACUCGGCUUCGGCGGUGGAUAGAGCCACUGAGUUUUGUUUCUUUGAAGCCCAAGACACCAGAGAUCUUUCCAGAAACUGACAAGUCCCUGAUGUGUUCUUCCUAUCAAUUUUACAUCCAGCAUAAUCGGCAUCAGAAUACCCAAUUAAAUCAAAGGUAGAUCCCUUGGGGUACCAAAGCCCAACCUUAGGAGUGUAAACUAAAUAUCCCAUGAUUCUUUUCACGACCCUAAGGUGAACUUCCUUAGGAUUUGCCUCGAACCUUGCACACAUGCAUACUUAAAGCAUAAUAUCCGAUCGUGAAGCACAUAAAUAGAGUAAGGAUCCUAUCAUCCACUGGUAUACCUUUUGAUCUACAAAUUUACCUCCCGUGUCGAGGUCGAGAUGCCCAUUUGUUCCCAUGGGUGUCUUGAUGGGUUUGGCAUUCUUCAUUCCAAACUUCUUAAGGAUGUCUUUAAUGUACUUAGUUUGGCUGAUGAAGGUGCCCUCUUGGAGUUGCUUGAUUUGAAAUCCAAAGAAAUACUUCAACUCCCCCAUCAUUGACAUCUCGAAUUUCUGUAUCAUAAUCCUACUAAACUCUUCACAAGAUGACUUUUUAGUAGACCCAAAUAUGAUAUCAUCAACAUAAAUUUGGCAUAUAAACAAGUCUUUAGCAAUAGUUUUAGUGAAGAGGGUAGGAUCAGCUUUUCCAACUUUGAAGCCAUUAGUGAUAAGGAAGUCUCGCAGGCAUUCAUACCAUGCUCUUGGAGCUUGUUUGAGCCCAUAAAGCGCCUUUUAGAGUUUAUAAAUAUGGUUAGGAUACUCACUAUCUUCAAAGCCGGGAGGUUGCUCAACAUAGACCUCUUCUUUGAUAGGGCCGUUGAGGAAGGCACUUUUCACAUCCAUUUGAUAUAACUUAAAUCCAUGGUAAGUAGCAUAGGCAAGUAAUAUACGAAUUGAUUCAAGCCUAGCUAUGGGUGCAUAGGUUUCAUCAAAAUCCAAACCUUCAACUUGUGAAUAUCCUUUUGCAACAAGUCGGGCUUUGUUCCUUGUCACCACACUAUGCUCAUCUUGUUUGUUGCGGAAUACCCACUUGGUACCUACAACAUUCUGGUUAGGACGUGGAACCAAAUGCCAUAUCUCAUUCCUCGUGAAGUUGUUGAGCUCCUCUUGCAUUGCCACCACCCAAUCGGAUAUCUUAGUGCAUCCUCUACCCUGUAUGGCUCAAUAGAAGACACAAAAGAGUAAUGUUCACAAAAAUGUGCAACUCGAGAUCUAGUGGUUACCCCCUUGUGAAUGUCACCAAGUAUGGAGUUGACGAGGUGAUCUCUUUGAAUUGCUUGGUGGAAUCUUGGGUGUAGCGGUCUUUGAUCACGAAUUUCUUGAUCAUCUUCCUUGUCUUCAUGAUCAUCAUCUCCCCCUUGAUUAAUGUCCUCCUCUUGAGGUGGCUCAUCAUCUUGGUCUUCAUCCUCUUCUUCUUGAGCCUCACCCUCAUCUUGAGUUGGUGGAGAUGCUUGUUUGGAAGAUGACGGUUGAUCUUGUGUUUGUGGAGGCUCCUCGGAUUCCUUUGGACACACAUCCCCAAUGGACAUGUUUCUUAGUGCAACACACAGAGCCUCUUCAUCAUCUAGUUCAUCAAGAUCAACUUUCUCCACUUGGGAGCCAUUAGUUUCAUCAAACACAAUGUCACAAGAAACUUCAACUAAUCCAGUGGACUUGUCGAAAACUCUAUAUGCCCUUGUGUUUGAGUCAUAACCAAGUAAAAAGCCUUCUACUUCUUUAGGAGCAAAUUUAGAAUUUCUACCUCUUUUAAUAAGAAUAAAGCAUUUGCUCCUAAAGACUCUAAAAUAAAAAACAUUGGGCUUUUUACCGGUGAGGAGUUCAUAUGAUGUUUUCUUAAGGAUUCAGUGAAGAUAUAACCAGUUGAUGGAGUAGCAUGCGGUGUUAAUCGCCUCCGCCCAAAAUUGAUCCGGUGUUUUGUACUCAUCAAGCAUGGUUCUUGCCAUGUCCAAUAGAGUUCUAUUCUUCUUCUCCACUACACCAUUUUGUUGAGGUGUGUAGGGAGAAGAGAACUCAUGCUUGAUGCCCUCCUCCUCAAGAAAUCCUUCAAUUUGUGAAUUCUUGAACUUCGUUCCAUUAUCGCUUCUAAUCUUUUUUAUUCUCAAUCCGAACUCAUUUUGAGCUCGUCUUAAGAAUCUCUUUAAGGUCUCUUGGGUUUGAGAUUUUUCCUACAAAAAGAACACCCAAGUGAAGCGAGAAUAGUCAUCCACAAUUACAAGACAAUACUUAACCCCGCCGAUGCUUAUGUAAGCGAUCGGGCCAAAUAGAUCCAUGUGGAGUAGCUCAAGCGACCUGUCGGUCGUCAUGAUGUUCUUGUGUGGAUGAUGGACUCCAACUUGCUUCCCUAUUUGGUAUUUCGCUACAAAUCCCGUCUUUCUCAAAAUGAACAUUUGUUAGUCCUAAAAUGUGCUCUCCCUUUAGAAGCUUGUGAAGAUUCUUCAUCCCAACAUGGGCAAGUCGAUGAUGCCAGAGUCAGUCCAUAUUAGUCUUAGCAAUUAAGCAAGUGUCUAGUUCAGCUUUGUUAUCAUUAAAAUCAACUAAAUAUAGCUGAUCAUCUAACACUCCCUUAAAUGCUAUUUAAUCAUCACUUCUUCUAAAGGGAGUAACACCUAUAUCAGUGAAUAAAUAGUUGUAGCCUAUUUUGCAUAAUUGAGGAACUAAAAGCAAAUUGUAGUCUAAAGAAUCUACAAGAAAAACAUUUGAAAUAGAAUGGUCAGGAGAUAUAGCAAUUUUACCCAAACCUUUGACCAAACCUUGAUUUCCAUCCCGAAUGUAAUAGCUCUUUAGGGAUCUUCAUUUUUCUCAUAUGAGGAGAACAUCCUUUUCUCCCCUGUCAUGUGGUUUGUGCACCCGCUAUCAAUUAUCCAACUUGAUCCACCGGAUGCAAAAACCUACUAAACAAAUUUAGGCCUUGUUCUUAGGUACCCAAAUGGUCUUGGGUCCUUUCACAUUAGAAACAAGCACCUUGGGCACCCAAACACAAGUUUUUGGACUCUUGUGUUUGCCCCCAACAUAUUUGGCAACUACUUUGCCUGAUUUGUUAGUAAGCACAUAAGAUGCAUCAAAAGUUUUAAAUGAAAUGUUAUGCUCAUUUGAUGCAUUAGGGAUUUUCCUUUUAGGCAUUUUGAUAUGACUGGUGUUGGGGACUUGUUCUCAAAUGCUAUGAAUUAAGAACAAGGCAACACAAAAUGUUAAAGGUUAAUGUCCUUCGUCCUUCGAAACAUUAUUUCCCUUAGGAUAUAAUGGUCUUUAGACGAAGGUCAUGAAGGACGUACCUUCAUCAUCGCAAUAUAUGUUAAUGAAAGGGGAAGUAUGUGAAAUAUAAGAGACAAUAUGAAUGAUCAUCGUAUAGCAUUAUUAAUUCAACUUUAUUAUAUCAUCAUGGGAAGGUAGAAACAAUAUUGAAUUACAAAAGUACCUUCGGCUCGACAGAAGGCAAAAAGUACAAUUGUGACACAAAAGCAAGUAUGAGUCAGCGUGAACAGUACGGGGUACUGUUCAUCUAUUUAUAGGCACAGGAUGCAACCUGUGAGAAAUUACACUCAUGCCCUUUGCAUUUGCUAUUAGCUUAUAGAAAAUUCUAUGAGGACUGAAUGGCCUUUUCCCCUUUAAGUCGGUUCCUUUUCUCGUGAUUGAGUUGAAGCUCCUUUGUGCAUGGCUUUGGAGCGACAACAACCUUCGUCACGAUCAUGUCCCUAUCCUGUAUGCCCUUUAGUCCUGAAUCCGAAGGUACCUGUUUAUAAAUCAGACUUGACAAACACUGUUAAAUUACGUUUUUGAGGACCUUCGGAGGACGAAGGCCCCCAACAGUAGCCCCUCGCAGUAUUAAUUUGUUUAAGAUAACGAAUUCAGACUGCGACAUGGACGAAGGCCUUAAGCCGAAGGUCCAAAAAAACAUCUUCCCUUUGCUAGAAUAGCAACAGUCAAUGACAAAUGGGACCCUCCAAUUUGAGCGUGCCGAUUGUAUAAAUAAGAACUCACCCUGAGCAUAUUUGGUAUGCUACUUGCCGCUUGCUUUGUUUGCUCAAUUUUUUUUAGCUCUUGCUUACCAACGCUUGCUUAAUUUCUCAGACUUCCUAAGCUUCAGUUUAAGGACACAUUUUCGCCAUUUCCGAAGACAAAAUGUCUCAAGACAAAAAAGCUGCUGCCGAGACGAAGCUGAGCGAAGAGGAGAAGCUCCUUGAGGAGAAGACUGCUGGAUUUGUUGAGUCAAUAGCAAAAACAAACACGGAGAAGAUUACCAAAGAGAUACUAGAAGGCUUGUCUGAAGAUACUGAUGAUAGCGAUAGCUAUGAUGUGGAAAGUGGAGGCGAAGACUCUGAAGAUCGGCCCUGGCGACCAAGUCACGCAGUCUUCGGGAAUUCAACUAUCAAACAGAGUCAUCUUGAUAAUAUGAGAGGAAGAUAUUUUCGAGAUAUGUCUAUUGUGAGGGCUGACGUAGACAGAGUCGUUCCUGCUCCCGAAGAGAACAAAAUUGUAAUCUACCGAAGCUUCUUCAAAGCUGGACUUCGGUUCUCGUUGAGCAGAUUUGUGGUUGAAGUUUUAAAGACGUACCAGAUUUUCCUUCACCAGAUCACUCCCAAAGCAGUUAUUAGAAUGAGGAUCUUCGUCUGGGCUGUGAGGAGUCAAGGUCUAGAGCCAAGUGCAAGAUGUUUUUGCAGCAUGCAUGAACUUUUGUACGAGACGAAGCCCUAGGGUAAAGAACAAUAUCAUAACAAUUUUGGUUGCUAUAGCUUCGUUGCUCGCUCUGGCGCAAGCUACCCAGUGCCAACGUUUUGGAAGAGGUGGCCCGGGGCCUGGAUGGAAGAAUGGUUUUACGUGAAAAAUGAUUUGAAGGCAAGAGAAGACAUUAAAGAAAUCAUCAUGCGACCCAUCUGGUCCCGCUUCGGCCUUCGAAAGCCGAAGGUAGAAAUUGAUGAGGCGGCCAAAGCAUGCCGAAGGGCCUUCAGCACAGUUUGUUCUUUUAUUGGGACAAGAGACUUAGUUCAAGAACAUGUAGCCUACAGGAUAUGGCCACUGAUAGUCAGCUGGGAAAUGCCGAAAGAAACCAUCACUAACCCUAGCGAAGGCGGCCUGGUUCGAUUGAAAUACACCUUCAGGUUUGGAGACCAGUUUGUCAAACCAGAUGACGACUGGCUGAAGUGUGUUGAAAAUACUAGCGAUGAGUUACUUGGAGCAUAUUCCAAGUCCGAAGAUAAUGCACUAUCUGCGGCCUUCGGGAGUCGAAAAAAGAAAAGAUUAAAUAAGGUUUUUGAUGCUAUUGGAUUUGUGUACCCUGACUAUCGCUACCCGCCACGGGGGCAAAAAAGAAAGGGCGCAACCUCUGGAAAGGUUGCCGCUUCGGCUGCUCCAAGCGAGCCUGCGCCGAAGAGGAAAAAACUGAAGGUCCCUACCCACCGACCAUGCUACAUUGAACCGGCCAUAGUGCCUGAGUUUGGCGGGGAAACUUCUUCAGCUGCUGCUCCAAAAGAGCCAAUUCCUUCUAAGCAGAAGGCUGAAGAACCGGCCACCAUGCCAAAGGCCCCCCCGGCCGAGCAAGCUGAGGCAAAGACUAGUAAAGACAAGGCCGAAGAGCCAAAGACUGAAGGAUCAAAAAUGUUAGAAGUUUUGAGCCCUUCGGCGGAAAUAACAGUGUCGAAGAUACAAAAAGGUCUUGCGGCCACUCCUAAAAUAAAAAGGAUGGAAAGUGUACUAGAUGUGCUAGAGUCAGUAAAGGCUUCAAGCUCUAUUUCUUCAGGGAAAAUUGUCGAGGCUUCGAAAACGCAAAUUGAAGCCAAAACAAAACUGACCGAAGCUGAAGCUGCAACGAGCCAGGCUAGCGCCGAAGCUGGGCCUUCAGAACUUGCUAAGGAGAAACCCUUGGAAAUUAGAGAGAAGGUAGCAGAAGAAGAGGCUAUAGAACAGACUUUGCCUGAAAAAGCUCCCGCUCCUACUCCCGAAGCAACUUCCGAAGAUCUUGAUUAUGUUAUUCGACACGCUUCGGGAAAAAGAUUAUCUGAGGAAGAAAUUUUUGAAGCUAAACACUAUGCCCGAGAACUGAAGUACCCGAAAGGGGCCUUAGUGUUUAAUGGCACGGAUGAAGAUGAUUUCUUGUAUUGUCUCCCAGACAACAAAGAAUUAUCCGUCUGCCGGGAGAUGGCCAGAAGUAUGGGUUUUCCGAAGCUCGAAGCUAGCCUCAGUGCUGUGACGAAGGACGAUCUUGCGGAUAGCCUUGCAUACAACAGUCUGAAGGUACAAAAGUUGUGAAUUUUGAAGUUUAUGGAUUCUGUAAUAGAGCCUUUUGCUCUCAUGUUAAUCCAUUCAUUCUUUCUUGUAGGGCUUAAUACUUAGCAACGCCUUAAGGGCGCAAAAGAAUGCUGAAGACGAGAGCUGCACUAUUGCUCUCAACAACCUUCGAACAGAGGUUAUUAAGCUGAGAAACGAAGCCACGUAAAAAGACAAAUUUCUACUUACAUUAGUGGACAAAGUAAAGGGGGAUGAAGCCAACUUCAAGGCUCAAUCUGAAACUCAAAAGAAUGAGAUUGAAGACCUUUGAAAACAACUGGCUGAGGCCAAAUUAAAAUGUGCUGUUGCCGAAGCUGACCGAGAUGCCAGUGAGUACUGGACAAAUUAUUUUGAAAAAAUAGUUGCAGAGCUUCGCGCAUCAAAAGAAAGAUGUUUUGAAAAAUCUGUAGAAUGUGUAAAAAAGAUAAAGACUAGCUUUGCCAACGUGGGCGCCUACUCAAAUGAAGACAACUUCAUACGGGGCGACCCUGAGGGCGUAAUUGAGUAGAUCAGCGGUGAAGCCGAAGCUUUUGAAGAGAUUUUGAGUGACCGCGGGGACGUCUGUGCAUUUUUUGGUGCAAGGGGAGUUGCAGCCAUUCUGGAGAAGGCAGGUUGCGAACAUGUUAAAAACAUGGCUCAGGCCGAAGUUGCCUUUUCCAUCGACGAUACGAAGGACCCCUCGACCGAAGCAAGCUCAAUAGGCGGAAAUUUUUUUACUGAUAUCUGGGAAAAUGGUGGCCGAGGGAUGGCCCAUGAAAUAAUAAAGAAAAACGAAAAAGAUAUUCAUGACGCUCGAGAAACAAAGAAAGCAGCUGAAAAGGCUGCGGAACUUGAAAGACGGAUAGGUAUUACUUAAUGGCUUUUAACUUUGUUGUUUAUUUUUGUGACUUCGAACUAAUUUAUGUAUUCUACCGCAGCUGAACUAUCUCCUCCCCCAGAGCCAUUCGACCCACUGGCCGAUCCAGAGACAAAAAACAAUAGAAAUUAUUAAUAUGGCCGAAGCUAUUGUAGAUGAAGUUGUUACCAAGCUGCUAACCGAAGCUGCAGAAAAAGUUCUGAAGGAAGAGGAGUAACUAUUGUAAAAACGUUUUCUAGAAUAUUAAUGUAACAUUUGCUGAACUAUAUUUGUAAUAUUCAGUGCUUAUAGAUUUGAAUGUAAUAUAUGAGUGGUUUGUAAUUCAGUUCUUUGCGAUGCAUGAAACUUUUUGUACAUACCGUUUUUGAGCCUCCGGCGAAAAAACACCUUCCCUUCUUUUCAUGCUUCGUAAAGAAGAGCUUUUAUGCUUCGUAAGAAUCAUCCAUACUUUGUAAAACAUCAAUGCUUCGUACACAAUAAAUCCCUUUCUUCGCAUUAGAACUAAUGAAGCUGUGAUUCUCUACUUACGUUGUGCCUUGGCAUCUUUUCAUUUUUUGUAAAGCAUUGCCCGAAGAUCGGCCUCGUUUUCAAUUGAUGUCAUUGAUGUGGUAUGAUGUAUGAUGUGAUGCUAUGCGAUAUGAUGCGAUGAUAUGAUGCGAAGAAUGAUGCUAAUGUAUCGUGCAAAUGAACGCCCAAACACACACAUCCGAAGCUUCAUCCACAACCUUCAUUCCCUAAGGAAUGACUGAAAUCUCUUUGUCGUUUAUUUUUCGGCUGCACCGUUUAUUUUUUGGUGUAAGUUCUGCAUUCCCUAAGGAACGUAUUUUGAACUUCUUCGCCUUCUAUUUCGGUGGUAUUCGCGUUGACUUUUUGCGCUUCGCCUUAUAUUUCGGCGGUAUUUGGCUCUGCAUUCCCUAAGGAACGACUUUUGAGCAGAAAACUUACAUUGUGUUCCCUUGAGAACGGCUUUUUGAAGCUUCGGCAACUUACGCUGCGCUCUUUAAGAACGAGUUUUUGUAGCUUCGGCGAAACUUUCACUGCGAUUUUUAGCUCUGCAUUCCUAAAGGAAUAUCUCUUUGUAGCUUCGGCACUCUCGUAAGUCUGAGACGAAGGUAUAUUUCAUUUUGAUAUAAACAAAGCUAGUACAGGAAAUUAAAAAAUAACAAGAAAACUAGGUUUACAUUGAUUGUUCCUUAUUAAAAAGAAAACAACAGUGAAUGUAAAAUUUUGCCAAAGGUAGGAUAUCUCUCAAUAUAUGUGUUUUGAUUCUGGCACAGUAUUGUUAACUGUGCGAGCUUUGGACCCCUCCCUGAAAUCUCGCUGCUGAUGGGUCUGUUGACUCCCUUCUUGCUGCUGACCUCAUGAGUAGGCAGGCUGUAGUGGCGGCGGAGGUGGAAGCUGUGGCCAAUAAACUUGCGACUGACUAGCCGAAGCAACAGAAGCUGCGGGAUGAUUACCCACAUAUUCUGGUAUGUAGGGUGAAUGACACGAAGCAGUGUGCAGGACCUGCUUCGGUUGACUUUGCCGGGCUUUGGCUUCUGCAAUCUCUUUUUGCUUUUGGAUGGUGAUUUGACACGUUCUUGUAUUGUGGCCCUUGUCUUCACCAUAAAAUAGGCAGUAGAUCUUCCUGGGCUGGUCCCCAUAUCUUCCUUUGAAGCCCCUGGCGCCUCUGCCUCUUGGAGCUGGCGGCCGGAAAGAGCUUUGUUGCUGCCCCGAAGCUUGCGAAGAAUAUUGCGGCCUCUGCUGUUGACCUCCUCUGUCAUCACUCUGGGUGGAGUUGUGAAUUGACCUGACGUGCCUUGGAUGAAUUCUUCCUCUGAAGCCCCUAGUCAUUUCAGAGAACCUAUAUGCUUCCUCCCUUCUUUGGCGGAAGUCAUUGUCAGCCCGGAUGUAUUCAUCCAUCUUCUGAAGCAGCUUCUCCAGAGUCUGUGGGGGCUUUCUAGCGAAAUACUGAGCAGUAGGUCCCAGACGAAACCCCUUAAUCAUGGACUCAAUGACAAUUUCAUUGGGUACUGUAGGCGCUUGUGCUCUAAGACGCAAGAACCUUCGGACAUAUGCCUGGAGGUACUCUUCAUGAUCUUGCAUGCAUUGAAACAAGGCCUGAGUUGUGACUGGCUUCGUCUGGAAGCCUUGGAAACUUGUCACCAACAUAUCCUUGAGCUUCUGCCACGAAGUAAUGGUUCCUGGCCGAAGGGAAGAAUACCAUGUUUGAGCUACAUUCCGAACUGCCAUGACAAAGGACUUGGCCGACAGCUGCAUUGCCUCCAUAUGAAGAUAUAGUUGCUUCAUAACUCAUCAAAAACUGCUUCGGGUCUAAAUGUCCAUCAUACAUGGGAAGCUGAGGUGGCUUGUAUGAUGGGGGCCAUGGGAUAGCCUACAAUUCUGUUGUCCAGGGAGAAGCAUCAUCAAAAGUAAAGGUAUCAUGAUUAAAAUCAUCAUACCAUCCAUCAUCGUUGAACAAUCCCUCUUGAUGAAGCUCCCUGUGUUGGGGCCUUCGAUCUUGGUCGUCUUGAGCAAGAUGGCAUACUUCUUCAAUGGCUUCGUCAAUUUGCCUUUGAAGAUCAGCCAGUUGGGCCAUCUUCUCCUUCUUCCUUUGUACUUGUUGAUGGAUUAUCUCCAUGUUUCUGAUUUCUUGGUCCAACUCCUCCUCCUGGAGUGUUGGACUAGUGGCCUUCCUCUUCUGGCUUCGGGCCUCUCGAAGAGAAAGGGUCUCCUAAUUUGGGUCCAGUGGCUGCAGUGCGGUAGCCCCUGGCACUGAAGCUUUCUUCGGUGGCAUGACGAAGGUCAGUGCUUGCCGAAGGUGGUCGAAAAGGGUUCACCGGAGGUGGGCGCCAAUGUUGGGGACUUGUUCUCAAAUGCUAUGAAUUAAGAACAAGGCAACACAAAAUGUUAAAGGUUAAUGUCCUUCGUCCUUCGAAACAUUAUUUCCCUUAGGAUAUAAUGGUCUUUAGACGAAGGUCAUGAAGGACGUACCUUCAUCAUCGCAAUAUAUGUUAAUGAAAGGGGAAGUAUGUGAAAUAAAGAGACAAUAUGAAUGAUCAUCGUAUAGCAUUAUUAAUUCAACUUUAUUAUAUCAUCAUGGGAAGGUAGAAACAAUAUUGAAUUACAAAAGUACCUUCGGCUCGAUAGAAGGCAAAAAGUACAAUUGUGACGCAAAAGCAAGUAUGAGUCAGCGUGAAUAGUACGGGGGUACUAUUCAUCUAUUUAUAGGCACAUGAUGCAACCUGUGAGAAAUUACACUCAUGCCCUUUGCAUUUGCUAUUAGCUUAUAGAAAAAUCUAUGAGGACUGGAUGGCCUUUUCCCCUUUAAGUCGGUUCCUUUUCUCGUGAUUGAGUCGAAGCUCCUUUGUGCAUGGCUUCAGAGCGGCAACAACCUUCAUCACGAUCAUGUCCCUAUCCUGUAUGCCCUUUAGUCCUGAAUCCGAAGGUACCUGUUUAUAAAUCAGACUUGACAAACACUGUUAAAUUACGUUUUUGAGGACAUUCGGAGGACGAAGGCCCCCAACAAGUGGAAUGCCUAGAGCUAGAGGCCUCAUUUCUAUACAUAAAAGCAUGAUGAGAAACAUUGUGAGGUCUUCUAGCAUGAAUCUUUCUAAUCUUAUGCUCAGGAUAGUUUGCAGGAUAUAAAAUGUAGCCUUCUCUAUCCUAAACCAUGGGAGCCUUACACUUAACAAAAUUAGAUAAUUUCUUGGGGGCAUUAAGUUUAGGGAUGUUCCUAAAACAUCCGACUUGUAUCACAAACCUAAUAUUUUAGCAUAGAUAUACAUAGAAUUUAAAGCUAAUUUUUGGCAAUGUUACUAAGAAUAUUAUGAAGUAUUUAAAUAAAUUUUUAUACUAUUUUUUAUGUAUAUUAUUUUCUCCCUACAACAAAAAGGUGAAAAAACAUCCGAAUUCAUAUUCGAAUAGACAUCCGAAUUUUAUAUCAAUUAUUUAAAAAAUAUAUAGAAUGAAUUUAAUGUUUAUUUUUUUGUGAAGAUUAAUAGCCUCAAUGCUAAAAACAAGAAUAUAAAUUUAUAUAACAAAUUAUAUAUGUUAUUUGUUCAUAAUCGAAGAAAGAAGACCAAAAAUUUGACAUCCAAAUAAAUAUCUGGAUCCAUCCCUAAUUAAGUUUGGUGUUGUUUUGGCUCCCUUGUUGGGUGCCAAUGUCAUCCUUAAUGUCAGGGUGUCUCCCUUUAUAAAGCAUGCUAUGAGCAAAUUUAAACUUUUCAUUUUCUAGUUCAUGCUCAGCAAUUUUAACAUUUAAUUUAGCUAUGUGAUCAUUUUGUUCUUUAAUCAUGGCAAGGUGAUCAUCAAUAGCUUCAACAUUAACAUCUCUACAUCUAGUACAGAUAGUGACAUGUUCAACAGUAGAUGUAGAGGGUUUGCGGUUAUUCAGUUCUUCUAUCUUAGCAUUUAAACCAGCAUUCUCAUUUCUAAGACAGGAAAUUGAAUCAUUGCAAAUGCUAAGAUCCUUAGAUAAGUUUUCACAUUUCUCUAUUUCUAGAGCAUAAGCAUUUUUAACUUAACAAAUUUUUUAUUUUCUUUAACGAGCAAGUCCUCUUGGCAUUCCAAGAAAUCAUCCUUCUCGUUAAUGGUUUCUAUUAAUUCAUUUAAUUUUUUUUCUUUUGGUCCAUGGUAAGGUUGCCAAAGAGAGAAACUAAAUCAUCUUCAUUAUCACUAGAGCUGCCCUCAUCAUCAGAUGUAGUGUAUUUGGGGGUAACUCUAGAAUGUACCUUCUUCUUGUCGUCCUUAGCCAUGAGACACUUGUGGCCGACGUUGGGGAAGAGAAGUCUCUUGUUGAUGGCGAUGUUGGUGGCGUCCUCGUCGGUGGAGCUCUCGUCGGAGUCUCAUUCCCGCCCCAUGUGCGCCUCGCCAGCCUUCUUCUUGUAGUACCUUUUCUUCUCCAUUUUCUUCUUCCCUUUCUUGUCGUCGUCCCUGUCACUUUCACUUGUAUAUGGACAUUUUGCAAUGAAGUGACUAGACUUACCACACCUAUAGCACAUCCUUUUGGAACGGGGUUUGUAAUCCUUCCCCUUCCUUUGCUUGAGGAUUUGUCGAAAUUUCUUAAUGAUAAGAGCCAUUUCCUCGUUGUUGAUCUUGGAGGCGUCGAUUGGUAGUCUACUUAGUGUAGACCCCUCCUUCUUUUCUUCCGUUGCUUUGAAUGCAACGGGUUGCACCUCGGGUGUAGAGGUGGCGCCUUGCUCCAAGUUGACAAUGUGUUUGGAGUCUUUGAUCAUAAGUUCAAAGCUCACAAACUUGCCAAUUACCUCCUCAGGAGACAUCUGUUUAUAUCUAGGGUCUCCACGGAUUAGUUGCACUUGAGUGGGAUUACGAAAAACAAGAGAUCUAAGAAUAACCUUGACCAUCUCAUGGUCAUCCCACUUGGUGCUCCCGAGGUUGCAAACUUGGUUGACCAUCAUCUUGAGCCAGUUAUACAUUGCUUGUGGCUCCUCUCCUUUGUUGAGGACAAAUCGACCGAGUUCUCCCUCGAUCGUUUCACGCUUGGUGAUCAUGGUCACCUCGUCCUCUUCAUGCGCCGUUUUGAGGACGUCCCAAAUUUCUUUGGCAUUUUUCAACCCUUGCACCUUAUUAUACUCCUCUCGACAUAAGGAGGCGAGGAGUAUAGAAGUUGCUUGGGAGUUGAAAUGCCUAAUUUGGGUGGCCUCGUCCGAGUCAUAGUCCUCAUCGCCCACCUGUGGUGCCUGCGCUCCAAACUCAACAAUAUCACAUAUGCUUUCGUGGAGUGAGGUUAGAUGGUGCCUCAUUUUAUCACUCCACAUACAAUAAUCUUCACCAUCAAAAUAUGGUGGUUUGCCUAGGGGUACGAAAAGUAGAGGAGCACGCUUUGAAAUGCGAGGGUAGCGAAGAGGCAUCUUACUAUACUUUUUGCGCUCGUGACGCUUUGAAGUUGUAGACUCGGCGCCGGAUGUGGAGGGUGAUGAAGAGUCGGUAUCGUAGUAGACCACUUUCUUCGUUUUCUUUUUCUACUUGUCACCCCUCAUAUGUGACUUGAUGGAGGAAGAGGAUUCCUCCUUGUAAUUGUCGCCGGACUCUCUUGAUAGAGUCCUUCCCGAGCCUACGGCCUUAUCGCCGGUGAUGAUCUCCCUCUUGGCGUGAUCUCCAGACAUCACUUCGAGUUUGUUAGACUCUUAAUGAAGUACUGCCUCUAAUACCAAUUGAUAGUCGCCUAGAGGGGGGUGAAUAGGCGAAACCUGAAAUUUAUAAACUUAAACUUGCACUAAGGUCGGGGUUAGCGUUAGAAUUAAAUUCGAGUGCGGAAAUAUGUUUCUCUUGCUAUGAGUUGCUCAAUUAAUGCGGAUGACGUUUGGGAGCAAACUCAAAUCAAUACUAGCAAAGAAACUUUAGAAAGAGGAAAGAGGGCAAACAAAUCAAGCGAAGAUCAAUGCAAGUGAACACGGUGAUUUGUUUUACCGAGGUUCGGUUCCAAAGAACCUAGUCCCCGUUGAGGAGACCACAAAGGCCGGGUCUAUUCCAACCCCUUUCGUCUCUCAAACGGUCACUUAGACCGGAUGAGCUUUCUCCUUAAUCACUUGGGUCAAUAAGACCCCGCAAGGAUCACCACACACUUAGGUGUCUCUUGCUAGCUUUACAAAGCACUUAUGAGAAUAAGAAUAGAGGAGGACAAAGCAAUCCAAGCAACAAGAGCAACAAAUGAACACAAAACUCUUUCUCUCAAGUCACUAAGUGGAUGAGUUGAUUUUGAGGCUUGGGGAGGAUUUGAUCUUUGGAAUGUGUCUUGGAGUGAAUGCUAUUGCUCUUGUAUUGAAUAGGAACUUUAGAAAACUUGGAUGCCAUUGAAGGAGGUGGUUGGGGGUUAUUUAUAGCCUCCAACCACUUCCUAGCUGUUGGUUGUUUUUGCUGGCGAUGGGCAUACCGAACAGUCCGGUGGCGCACCAGACAUGUACUGUUCACUGUCCAGUGUGCGCCAUGUCAGCACGCUCGUUGGGGUUUGGAGCGGUCGACCGUUGGAACCCUCUGCCCUCUAGCGGCACCGGACUGUCUGGUGGCACACCGGACAUGUCUGGUGCGUUCUGACUUCGCCACCUGACAUCUGCCCGCGCACUGUUCGCUUUUACUGUUCACUGCAGUCGACCGUUGGCGCUAGGUUACCGUUGCUCCGUUGGCUCACCGGACAUGUCCGGUGCACACCGGACAGUCCGAUGAAUUAUAGCGGAGUGCGCCAAGAAGAAACCCGAGAGUGAGGUGUUCGAGAGCUGCUCGGCCUGGUGCACCGGACACUGUCCGGUGCGCCACUUGCAGCACACUCUCAAUUCCUUUGCUCCAAAUCUAUUUGAGUCCCCAACUUAAUUUCUUUCUUGGUCUGUGUUGAACUUUAUGCACCUGAGAUAAAUGACGUCUAGACAAACUAGUUAGUCCACGUGGUUUGUGAUGGACGUAAACCACCAAAAUCGAUUAUAGGAAAUGAUUAAGCCCAUUUUCCUUUCAGAAAGGAAAGGAGUUUAAGUGGUCUCGUGAAUGUCAAGAUAGUUUCAAUCAACUGAAGUCAAAAUUGAUGUCACCCAGUGUUGGUUAUGCAUCUGCAGAAGAGAUUUGACAUAUAUUGUGAUGUGUGACGCUAGGGCCUGGGAUGUGUUCUUAUUCAAGAAGGACAUGUCAUCGCCUACACGUCUCGUCAGUUGCAGAAACAUGAGCCCCACUCAUGACUCAGAACUAGCAGCCAUAGUGCAUGCUCUCAAGAUUUUGAUGCAUUAUAUAAUGGGACUAAGUGCCAAGUCUACACUGAUCAUGAGAGCUUAAUGUAUAUCUUCACCCAGAAAGAUCUCAACCUCAGGCUUGGUUGGAGCUCAUUAAAGAUUACGACUUGGAGAUUCACUAUCAUCCGGGCAAGGCGAAUUUGGUUGCGAACGUCUUGAGUCGGAAGGAGCAUGUUCAUGCAGCUAUUGUUGCCCAGUUACCCAAUGAAUUAGUAGAAGAUUUUAAAAGACUCAAUCUGAGAAUGGUUGUAGACACAAUUAUUUUUCAACAAUUCGAUAGCAUAAUUAAUCAAAUUUCUUCCCAAUUCACUAUCAUACACAAUUAGAACUUAAAGAAUUAUGCGCAUGCUAGCCACGGUUAGGGGCACUAAAGCUAGAAGGGCUAGCCGCUAGCGGUGUUGCGGCCUAUGGGACUUGGAAGGGGCCACGGGGCACAGCGUAGAAAGCCACCAAGGCUAGAAGGGGUGGUCAAUAGUGGGGAAUUGUGAGCGUUAGGCGUGGAGUUUAUGGUGUUAGGAUUUAUUCUUUGCUAUGUAAUAUGGGUUAGGCCAAAAAAAUACACUAUGGGUAAAUUUUGGAUAUCCAACGAAUAACCCAUGGAUGGAAGGUGAUCUCCUAAUAUGUGUUCAACGACUUCGGAGCGGAUUCAGGUCUAACCCAGAUCAAAUCAUGUAUCCAUAUUCAGUUCCAUCGGGUUGAAUAUUCAGGGUUAAAUUGCCAUCCCUAGAAUGAAUCAAUUGCAACCGUUUUUACACCAUGAGUCCACAAUAUCCAACGAGUGGUUGUCAAACUCCGGAUUGCCCUCUUUCCAACGAGUUGAUAUCAAUCACUAGAGUAACAAGCAUAAACACACACUUGACCAAACCAAACCUAAUAAGAAUGGUGAACGCACACUUGCUACACCCUAUGCUAUAGCGAGGUCUCUAAUUUCAUGAUUGUCAAAUUCAAACAGACAAAGGUUCUCUUUUAACUAUUGCAUGCACAUUUACCUCCUGCACAAGGCAUAUUCAUUGCACGGCCCCUCAGCUAGUUCAGGAACUAGCCGUUCCAUGCUAUUGACUCAUUUGUACGAUGCAUGUCAAGUUUAUUCCAGUUUCGGCAAGCUACAUGCCAAGUUUAUUCCAAACCAACAGCAAAAACACCUGACAGUCAGCAAUUCAAACAAAAUGGGACCUCAAGAUACCAUGGACUACCUAAGGAACCAAAUGCAGAUAAUGCACUGCUGAACCACCAACACGGAUAGAACUUUCUUAGAUCUUAUAAUAUUUGGCAGGAAGACUUCAAUCACAAUGAAACGUUCGCUACUGGUACAAAACUCAGAAGUACAAGAACACAGACAAAACAGCUUCCUACGAACUCCAAAACUAGAAACUUAGAAUACCAUCUCAUGGGGCUUGUCACCAUCCCUGAGAGAGAACCGGGCGCCAAGAUAGGUUUUCAGCUCCAGGACAGCCUCGAUAGCCUUGAUCAGAGCAGAAUCCACAGCCUUCUGGUCAUCCUUCUUGAAGUCAGGCAGUGACUUGGAUGCCUGCAGAUUCAACAGAUAUGAAGCAAGGGUCGACAAAAUAAUGGAUCUUUUUUACUCAGACACCUACCUCCUUUUCUGUCUCAAAAAGCUCGCCCUCGGUCUUCUUCACCUUCUGCUUCUUCUCCCUGGCAAAGUACUUGUCAUCAAACUUGGCGACAUCAACACCAGAGAUGUCAACUUUGGUUGAUGUAGCAAUGACAUAGGUCUGGUUCACACGGCGGAUCGGUACUCCAUUGAUCUUGAAAGGCCCUGAAAGAUAACAGAAACGCAAACUAAUGACAGGAAAAGAAUAUCAAGUAGAACAGGAUAGGAAAAAAUACAACUCUUUUGAAUGCAUGAAGAGAAAGCCAUGCAGCUAGACAGGAAGGAGGGUAAGGUUGUAACGGUGAACAGAAGCAUUCUAUCAACUUUAACUAAAAGUAAAGGGCAGACCCAGUGCCAGAGGCCCACAUGAGUGGAGUUGAGGAAGGGAUAAACGGAAGCAAGCCUUACCACUGCAAAUGCACAGA